RNAcentral lists this long non-coding RNA (50213 nucleotides) under Physcomitrium patens. RNAcentral's name for it is "long non-coding RNA (PPAT_LNC007975)". Lineage: Eukaryota; Viridiplantae; Streptophyta; Bryopsida; Funariales; Funariaceae. The record is from RNAcentral.
AGUAAUCACGUCAUUUUUUUAUUUUUAAUAAAAAAUGGUAUUUAAUUAAGUUUAAUUUUGAAAAGAUGUAAUUUUUAUGAAGUUUAUUAUUGUUGCUUUUUGGCCUUCUUAUUAUAUAUAUAUUCUAAAUUAGUAUAAAGAUAAAUAUUUAAAAUUUUUCAUUUGCAUUGUCUCAUCUUACUUGGUUGUUUGAAUUAAAAAUUUAUAUUAUUUCUUUAACAUAUUUAUAGAAGAUUUUAUUUUAUGCCAUUUUUACUUUUUUACUUUGUUUUUGAAAUAUAUCAAGAAGAAUAGUUUAAAAUAUUUAAAAGGAUCUAAAGAAAUCUUAAUUCCAUAUUUUUAAGUUAAAAAUUUAAAUAUUUAAAUAAUUAUUAUAUAAAAUUUAAAUAAUAUUUAUAAUUAUAAUAAAUUUAAUAAAAUGAUUAAAAAUAUCCUUAAUCUUCUAAAGAAGAAGACUUUGUAAAAAAGAUUUGUAGAUAAAAAUAAUUGCGAACUUAUUAUCUUAAUAUCUUUAUAGAAUAUUUUUAGAAAAAAAUAAGAAAGCAAUAAAAUAAUAAAAAUCUAUGACAAAACUUUAUUGCUAAAUGGUGCACCUAUUAAAAUAAUUUCUAACAAGAAAGAUUCUUUGGUUUCAUUUUGAAAAUAUCAUCUAAUUUAUCUAUUACUACUUAUCUUUAUUUAUUUCAUUAUAAAAAUAAAUAGCUAAAAAACCAUUUGGUAGCUUAUAUACUUUAAAAGUAAUUUUAUUUUUUAUCACCUUUUUGAAUUUACAAAUCUUUACUAUCUUAUUUAUUAUCUAAAAAAUUCUUUUAUUCCAAUUAAAAUAAUUUUAUUAAAAUAUCAACAUAUAUUGUAGCAAAAUAUAUCUUAAAUAAUAUAUUAUAAUAUAAAUAUUAUGUAAUAUUGAGUGUUUUUUUUGUUCUACCUAUUUAUUUUUUAAAUUUCAUUUUUCCAUAUAAAUAUUUAUUUUUACAAAAUUUGUCAUUACUUGGUCUUUUACACUUUUUUUAAUAUAUUUUUUAAAUGUCUUAUAUUGAUAGAUUUUUUGAAAGUUAUUCGAUGUCUAAAUUUUAUUAUAAUUUUUUAUAUGUCUUAAAUAUAAUAAAUUGAAUCAAUUCAUGUAAAACUAAUUUAUCAUAAUCUAAUGCUAUUAUCUUCUUAUUAUGCAUAUAAGAGUUUUUAGACAAAGUUGAUUUGAAUUCAAAAAAAUGCAAUUGAAUGUUUUGAGCAAACUAUGAAAAUGUGAAAUAGUAUUAUUUAGAUUACUUCCAAGAUUCAAAUCUAAUAAUUGUCAUCAAAUGAUAGAAUCUAAGCAACCUAUAUCAUUAUUCUAUUGUCUUUAUUUUAAAAUACUUAUUUUAAAACCAAUAUAAGAAGUCAACAUUAUCUAGCCUACUUACCUAAGGUAAUUCUUCUCUAAUAAUAUCAUAAUUAUAUUUAAUUUUAAAAUGAUUUUUAUUAGAUAUUAUGUAAUACAAAUAUUAUGUUAAAGUUUUAAAAUUAUUAAAAAUAUGGUGUUAAUAUUAAAAUAUUGAAUAAAAAACAUUAGAAUAAAAAAAAAAAUAUUAAAGAUUUUAUAAUUAAAAAAAAUUAUAUAUAGAAAUCAUUAUAAGUAGAUUCUUUGAAAAAACUUGGAUUCAAUUUUUAAAAAAUUCUAUUUAAGUUAGUAUUAAACCCAAAUGAAUCAAAUACUAUUAAUUAAAAUAUAUUUAAAGAUAUACAGUUUUUGUACAUAGAAUUAAAAUAAAUAAAAACUGAUUGUAGAAUCCUAUAAGGAAAUUUAAUAUAUAAAAACAAACAGAAAAAAAAUUUAAUUUUAAAAUAUGACAUAGUAUUGAAUCUUAAGUAUAUAGUUUUUUUAAAAUUUAUUGAUUUAGAAAAAUGCUAAGAAAUUCUUCUACUUCUUUUUUUUAUAUCUUCUAUACUAUUAUGUAAACAUCUCUACCAAAAACUUUAUGUUACUAAGACAAAAAGACAUAUAUUUUAUUUUAUCAAAGAUUGGCAUAAGUUAUGAGUUUUUUUUUUGCAAUGAUAAUUUAUUUUAUAAAAAAUAAAUUAAGAAAAGUUCUAAAAAAUUAAGUAUUGAAAGAUCGUUAUAAAAGCCACAUUCUAAUUUUGUUAAAGCUACAUCCCCUUUCAACCACAUCAUUCAUUGUGUACUAAUUUCAUGUUUUCAACCCCGUUUUCCAUCUGCUAUUGUCAAUUCCCAUCUUUUGUUCUUAGCUACCUUCUCCUCUCCCAUCUCAAGUAUGGAUUUUGCCAAUUUAUUCCAAUUUUAAUAUAAUUUAAAAGUUUAAUUGGUGAAAUUAAGUUCUUUGUAAAGUUUUUCUUUUUUUCUUUUUUUCAUCUAAUAAGAUAACAUGUUGUAAAUAAUAUUAUUUUUUAAAAAUAUUAUUAAUAAUGUAAUGAAUAUGGAUAAACUAUUGUAUUAUAUUUGAUUUUAUGAAGAUUAAAGCCUCUAGACUAUCAAAUAUUAUUUGGACAAUUAUAUAUAUUGUAAAUUUUAGCUUUCUUUAGUUACCAUAGAUCUAUAUUUUUUAUUAUCUAUAUAAAAUAAUAAAAAAAUAAUUCAAUUUAUUUACAUAAAAAAUAUCUUAUUUGAGAUAUCAAGAAUUUUUGAUAUUAUAAUUGAUAUCUAUUAUUCAUAAAAGAAAAAAUAUAAAAACAAACAAAUAAACAAACAAAUUUUUAAGCAAAUUAUUUUCAAAACCAUCUUUGAUUUCAUCUAAUAUUCAUACUAAUAAAAUUAAAUAAACCUUAUUUCAAUGUAAUAAUACGUAAAAAAUUGUACAAAUUCAAAUUCAGAUUAUUUAAAUUAUAAACCACAACUUUAAGAAUUGAUUUUUGUAUAGCAAAUAAAAAAAAUCUACAACUUUAUGUUUUAAUAAAUUAGAUAAUUAAAAAGAAUCAAUUUUUAUAAUAGGAAUAUAAAUCUUAAAGGAUAUAAAAUUUAUUAGUUUAUUAACAUUUUACUUUUAUUCUAUAAAUUAUUUGAUUUACUAAAUAAAAAUUAUAAUUAAUUUCAAAAUGGUUCUUUUAUAUUUUAAUUUAUAUAUCUACCUAUAUGUAUGUAUGUAUGUAUGUAUGUAUGUAUAUAUAUUGAUACAUAUAUCAAAUUUAUAUUUUAAUAAAUAUUAUAAAUUAAAAUAUCAAUAAAUAAUUUUAUAAUACCAUACAUAUUUCUUAUAUAAAAUUUGUUAUAGUUAUUUCAAAAAAAUAUUCAAUAUUUAAUUAUUUAUUUAUUAUAUCAAAAAAAUUUGUAACACAUAAAAAUCAUGAAUUUUUUACAAUAAAAUUUAUUUUUAUUCUCAUGAAUAAAUAUAAAUUAAAAUUUUAAUAUAUUAUAAUACUAUUUUACAUGUAUAUAUGUACAAUCAUAUUAAAAAAUAUUUUAAGGUUUUUUCAAAUUGAUAUUCUUUAGUUUGAAGUUUAUUCUACUUAGUUCACAAAUCUUGCUUUAUUCUAAUUAGUUUAACUUGUAGGCACAUUUAUUGUGACAAAGAUAGAAUGAGGUUGAAACUAAAGGUAGAGAUGAAGACUAUGAAAGGAACAUGAAAACAAGUGAUGAAGAAUAGAGAUGGAGACAAAAGAUGGAAAUCGAAGAUGGAAAUGAGAUACAAGGAAUAUGAAUUGAAAAUGGAAAUAAGGGAUGAUGGAUGAAAAUAAAAGAUAAUAAUAAGGAAUGUAGGAUGAAAAUGAAAGAUAGAAUCAAAGAAUGAGGGAUUGUCAUAAAUAUAUGUAUUUAUUUGAAUAAUUAUUAUAAUUAGUAGAAGUAGGUAAAAUUAGGUUAAUUUCAAAAUAUCUUCUAAAAAAAGCUAUCAAAGAUAUGAACUAUAAGAAGAUACAUAAACUUGAAAAACUUAUAUUAAAAAAAAGUGACAAAAUAAAAAUAAAGAAGUAUGUAUAUUAAAAGAAAAUUAGAGUGGCUAUUGCCAAAAAUAAGGAAAUUAGAGAUUCUUAAAUCUAGACUAGAAGCAAGAAAGGAAUUGAUAAGACUAAAGAUGGCUGCACUCUUGCCUCUAUAUAUACUAACUAGGAGCUAUGUGACAAUGUUUUAUAAGACUUCUAAUAUAUGUUGACUUUGUAGGACACAUGCCUUAGCUUACAAGGCAAUUUUUCUAUGUGUAAGCUACAUAAUUAGCUUAUUCUUCAAGCUAUCAACAUGUGUGGCACAUGGCCAACUUGUUGACAACAUUUCUAACCUAAAAAAUUAAUUAAAGACACCUAUAAAGUCAAAGCAAUGUCUAUGAAGCUUUCAAGAAACUUUUAUAGAAGAUAUUAUGGAAUUGACAUAUUUUUACCUACUAUUAUCUAAAUCAUAUAAGUAAUUAUUGGUUUACAUGUGUAUGUUUGUGACAAUACUUCCCUUUCUAGGGACGAGUUCUACAAAGAGCGGUCUUCAUAUGUUGAGGAAAUUAAACAGGCGACAAAUUUUAUUUGCCACGUAUUCCAAUCUUUGUUUUUUUCAAAGUUACUUAAUAAGCUUUCAUAGCUAUCGAUAGUGUCUCAUACUAGGAUGGAAAAACCAUCCUGUUAUUUGGUCAUUAUUGAGGCCUUCAUAACUUCUUUCAAAUAAAACAUUUGGAACACUGUUAAGAAUUGUUCCUACUUCUAAUAAAAUGUUAGGGACAUAUUCCUUAGAACUAUCUAGAGAGAAGUUUCUAGAACCUUCUAGAAAACAAGCCUCAGGAAUCUUCUAGAAGAGAAGCCUCUGAAACCUUUUAGAGAGAAGUUUUUAGAAGCUUCUAGAAAGGAAGUCUCUGGAACCUUCUAGAAGAGAAGUUUCUAGAAGCUUCUAGAAAGGAAUCCCCUGGAACUUUCUAGAAGCUUCCUAGUUAAUAGAAGUAGCUCGAGAAGUUUCUAGAACCUUCUAGAAAGGAAGCCUCUGGAACCUUCUAGAAGCUUCCUAGUUAAUAGAAGUAGCUCGAGAAGCUUCCUAAGUAGGAGUAUAUAUAGGGAUCGAGGCUGAAGAGUUCUUCAGUCUCGACAACACAUCUCUUGGAGUUCUAGCUCACUUUUCUGGUGUUGUUCUUGUACUCAUCUGUUUAAUCUAGUUCUGCCACUUCUUCUUGAACUUUUUGUUAGAUUUCAAGUCUGUAUUUUGUGUCCGUGACAAUUUGUCGAGACUACACUAACUUGAGAUAUCAGAGCUAGUUCUUUCUUAGUAGAGUGUGGAUUACCCGUCUACUUGAAGGUAUACUAGUAUUUUUUAGAGGUUGCGGAUUACCCUCCUCUAAACUAAUACUUCUUCUAUUACAAUAUCGGAGUCUUAUUCUUCUUGGAGAGAGUAGAUUACCCCUCUUCUUGAAAUUCUUAAGGCAUUUUAUAGGUUGUGGAUUACCCUCCUAUAAACCAAUAUUGCCUCUUAUAGGAUCAUUUUUGUCCUUCUUUUAGAAUGGCCGGAGGUCAAGACAUUAGUAUGACAGAAAGUUCGGAGUCUAAGUUAGAUGCUAUUAUGAAUGCCCUCGCUACGUUAUCACAAAGAACUGCAGAGAUUGAAGGAGUGGUGGCAAGGCUUCAUAAUGAUGGAGUAUCUGGGAUAGCACAAUCUAAAUUACACCAGCCUCAAAUUUCGGCACUUGGAGAAACAACUUUACCUCAGGUUCGACAAGAACCACUAGUUCUACAACAUAAGGAGUCUCGAGUUAGCCUUCCAGAUAAGUUUGAUGGAACACGUUCUAAGUUUCGAGGAUUCGUCAAUCAAAUCAGGUUGAUAACAGUUUUACAGCCCGAACGAUAUCCAACGGAGGAGUCACGUGUUGGGCUUGUUGGAACCUUACUUACGGGACAAGCUCUAUCAUGGUUUGCUCCUUUGUUUGAGAAACGAUCAUCCAUAUUAAACAACUUCGAAACCUUUUUGGAAGCAUUUGCGGAAGCAUUUGGUGAACACGAUAAGAUUCGAUGGGCUACAACAAAGAUCCGGUCGCUACGACAAGGGAUGCGUUCUACAUCAAUCUAUGCUUCGGAUUUCAGGCAAUUAGUAUGCGACAUCAAUUGGGAUGAAGAAGCGUUGAUGAGUCAAUUCUAUUGGGGUUUAAGAGAUGAUGUGAAGAAUUUGCUGUUAACUCUUCAUGAUCCACGAAUGCUCAAUGAAGCCAUUAGCCAAGUUGUGAAGUGCGAUAAUCACCUAUUCCAACGUCGCCAAGAUCAAUGCUCAAGACAACAUACAAUUCGCCAUACUCCAACUAUGUCAGCAAGCGGUAUGAAUUCGCAUUCAGAGGUGGAAGACAUGCAUAUUGAUGUGGUAUGUAUCAAAUCUCUUACUAUAGAAGUAAAAAAGCGACGUAUGGAGGAAAAUUUAUGCUUCUAUUGCGGUGGAGAAGGCCACAAAGUCGGAAACUGCCCCAAAAAGCAAAAUCGAGGCAUAGUCAAGACUAGGAGAGUAUUUGUUCAGGAAAACGAGGAUGCCCAGCCACAGUAGGAACCAUGCGGCUGGACAAUGAAAUAUCCCAACAACAAUCAGGUUCCUUUCUUUUUGUCUAACCUGCACUUUGUUUUACAAUCCCUUUGUUUAUCGGCCCUCAAAAACUAAGAACCUUAGCACUACUAGAUUCAGGAGCAUCUGCUUGUUUUUUAGACGAAGAAUUUACAAAGCGUCAUAAGAUCCCUUUAGUACAAAAAUCAAAACCUGUUCAUGUUGAGGUCAUAGAUGGGCAACCUUUAUUGUCUGGUAGCAUCACCCAUGAAUCAAAACUUAUAGAAGUAACGUUUAAAGACCAUAGUAGUCAUAUUAUUUUUAAUAUUAUUAGAACCCCAUCAAAUCCUAUUAUUCUUGGUCUUUCUUGGUUGGAAAAAUAUAAUCCAUUGAUAGAUUGGAGGUUGCGGAAGAUGACUUUUCCCACAAAAUCAUCCAAGAAAAAACCUAGUAAAAAACCUCGAAAAAAGAAAUCCUUAUUCAUUUGAGCAAGAGCGUUUAUAAGAUCAUCUAAGGAAGGCACUCCAUUUGUCAUUUAUGCGGCUCCAACUACCGAGGAGAAGAUCUCAACAGCAAGUAUACCGGAGCAAUAUAAGGAUUUUGAAGACGUGUUUCAAAAGAAGAACGCCGACAUACUACCAGAACACGGACCAUAUGAUUGUGCCAUAGACUUGCAAGAAGGAGCACAACCACCUUUUGGUCCAAUCUACAAUCUAUCGCAAACAAAGUUGGCAGAGUUACGAAAGUACAUCGACGAGAAUCUAGCCAAAAACUUCAUUCGUCAUUCAAAAUCAUCAGCUAGAGCACCCAUCUUAUUUGUGAAGAAGAAAGAUGGAUCAUUACGGAUGUGUGUGGACUAUCGAGGCCUCAACAAGGUAACAAAGAAAAAUCGUUACCCAUUACCCUUGAUUUCUAGUCUCUUAGAAAAACUUGGACGUGCGAAGAUCUUUACAAAAAUUGAUCUAAGGAGAGCUUAUAAUCUCAUACGAAUCAAGGAAGGAGAUGAGUGGAAGGCAGCAUUCCGUACAAGGUAUGGUCAUUUCGAAUAUAAUGUCAUGCCUUUUGGUCUUACCAAUGCUCUAGCGGUUUUCCAACAUAUGAUGAAUGACAUCUUUCGAGAACACCUCGACGAUUUUGUUGUCAUCUAUUUGGACAAUAUUCUAAUAUUCUCUAAAAACGAGGAAGAGCAUGAGGAGCAUGUUCGUUUGAUCUUGGAAAAACUACGCAAGCGAGGACUAUAUGCCAAAUUAGAAAAAUAUUUAUUUCACCAAACGGAGAUGGAAUUUUUAGGGUUCAUUGCGACUACAGAAGGUUUGAAGAUGGACCCCAAAAAAGUAGAAGCAAUCAUGUCUUGGGAGGUUCCAAAGAUGGUUAGAGACGUACAAUGCUUUCUUAGUUUUGCUAACUUCUAUCAGAUCUUCAUCAAGAAUUAUACUCAAGUUGCUGCUCCUCUCACUCGAUUAACAUGCAAGGAUAAGUUGGAAUGGGGACCUUUGGCGGAGAAGGCGUUUCAAGAUUUGAAGACUGCAUUUACUACAGCUCCAAUUUUGAUACAUCCAGACUUUACAAAGGCCUUUUAUUUAGAGAAUGAUGCUUCAGAUUUUACUUUGGGAGCUGUGCUUUCAUAAAUGAGUGAAGACAAGAAGCUCCAUCCAGUUGCAUUCUAUUCUCGAAAGUUCUCUGCUACUGAAAUCAAUUAUGAGAUCCACGAUAAGGAACUUCUUGCUAUAGUGGAUUCUUUCGAAGAAUGGCGUCACUUUCUUGAAGGAGCUGCACAUCCAGUAACCGUAUAUACAGAUCACAAGAAUUUGGAGUAUUUCAUGAUGGCUCGAGUUUUAAAUCGGCGUCAAGCUCGGUGGAAUAUGUCGCUAUCUAGAUUCGAUUUUGUUAUCACUUAUCGACCUGGAAGGCAGCAAGGACUAUCUGAUGCUUUAUCAAGGAGAUCGUAUCUUGCACCAAAGGUUGGAGAAGCAGCGUUUGAUCUACAAUGUACAACGUUAUUGAAGCCAGAGAGAUUUCAACUUUGUGCUACUAUUGUAUCAUUUGAUGCUGACUUCCUAAACCAGGUACGUGCUAUGACCAUUAAAGAUUCAGUAGCCAUUGAUAUCAAGCAACGUACCAAUGACGAUAAGUUCAAGGUGGAGGGAGAUCUUUUAUACUUUGAAGAGCGAUUGUACAUUCCAAAAGGACCAGCACGACUCCGAGUUCUUCAAUCUCGCCAUGAUUUUCCAACUGCGGGACAUUUUGGAUUCAACAAGACCUUGGAGCUUAUUUCCCGAGAUUUUUGGUGGCCCCAAAUGUGGAAGGAUGUGAAAGAUUUUGUCCUCUCUUGUGACAUCUGUUUAAGAUCUAAGAAUCCUCGGCAUCGCCUUUAUGGACUUCUACAGCCAUUGCCAAUUCCACGUCGACCAUGGUCUUCAAUUUCUAUGGACUUCAUCACUGACUUGCUGUCACGGCCAUAAUCAUGUAAGUUAAUAAUUACAUAUAGAAAUAGGUAGAAGUAAGUAAAAGUAGAUAAAAGUAAGUUAAUUGUAUAAUAUUUAAUAUAGAAGCUUCCUAGAAACUUCCUAGACGCUGCUUUGACUUCAUAGGUGUCUUUAAUUGACUUUUUGGAUUAGAAACGUGGUCAAUAAGUUGGCCAUGUGCCACACAUGUUAUUAGCUUGAAGAUCAAGCUAACUAUGUGGCCCACACGUAGAAAAACUUGCCUUGUAAGUCAAGGCAUGUGUCCUACAAAGUCAACACAUAUUGGAGGUCCUAUAGAACGUCGCCACGUAGCCCCUAGUUAGAUAGUAUAUAUAGAGACAAGAGUGAAGGCUUCUUCACUCUUGUCAACUCCUUUCUUGCUUCUAGUCCAGGUUCAAGAGUCUUUAGUUUCUUGUCUUGUGGCAAUAGCCAUUUCAGUUUCCUUUUAAUAUACCUACUUGUUUAUAUUUUGACUUAUUAUAUCGAGAUAGCCUUUUGGUGUAUAUUUUUCCUCAUCGAGUCUUUGUCCUUGACAGAUUGACAAGAGUACACUUACAAUAUCAGAGCUUUAUUUUUUCUUGAGUAAGAGUGGAUUACCCCUUUCUCUUGAUAAGACAUAAGCGUAUUAGAAGUUUGCGGAUUAUCCACUUGUAAACUGAUAUUGUUCUUAGUAUCUUCUUUGUUAUCAAGUCUUUCUUUUCUUUUGUCUUGAGCAAUAUCAAACAAAUUUUUCUUCUUAGUGUCAUUAUGGCAGAGCUUGUUGAAAUGAAGAGUGCAAUGGCACAAAUGCAAGAGCAAAUAAGGGUGUUAAUGCUUGCGAUGCAUCAACUCAAUUCACCAACACAGGAAAGAACAAGAAUAGCAGAAAGUGGAGAUAUAGAGAUGAUCGGAGCUGCUUCAACAUCUACAACAAAUCACGUUCCUUCUCCAAUUGUACAACAUCCUAUAAGCACUAGAGAACCAAGAAUUGCCUUACCUGAGAAAUUUGAUGGUACGAGCUCAAAGUUUCGAGGGUUCAUCAAUCAAGUACAAUUGGCAAUUGAACUUCAACCGCAAAGCUAUCCAACUCCAGGAUCACAAGUCAGGUUUAUUGGCACUCUACUUUCUGGUUCUGCAUUAUCGUGGUUUUCGUCUUUUCUUGAACAACGAAAUCCAAUAUUGGACAAUUUGGAAGCUUUUUUGGCGGAGUUUCGAUCUAUGUAUGGUGAACACGAUGCAACUCGUAUUGCAACAAAUAAGAUCCGAAUUCUGCGACAAAGAAAUCGCUCAGUAACAGUAUAUGCUUCACAAUUUCGACAACUUGCAAUUGACAUCAAGUGGGAUGAUGCUGCACUCAUCAGUCAAUUUCUUUAUGGAUUGCAAUACGAAGUAAAGAAAUUGAUGCUCAACUUACCUGAUCCUCAAACUUUGAGUCAAGCAAUCGAUUUUGCGGUAAAAUGUGAUAAUCGACUUUUUGAAUUUCGAUCUGAGAAUCAUUCACGGGAACCUCAACGUUAUUACUCAAUGGCAACAUCAACAUCUUUGCCAAACGUACAUUCAGAAGUAGAAGACAUGCAAAUUGACGCGGUACGUUUUAAACCUCUAACUGAGCAAGAAAAGAUUCGUCGUCGUCAAGAAGGAUUAUGUUUAUAUUGCGGAGAACCUAAGCACACUGCUCAACAUUGUCCAAAGAAACGACGCAACUAUAAAAUGAGGGGUACGACGGUCAAAGAAGACAACAUGUCGGAAAACGGAUCCGUCCAGCUACAAUAGGGACCGUGCAGCUGGAACCUUGUACAAUUCCUAAUGAAGGUCCUAUCCUCUCCUCAGAACCCUCUCCUUGUUUUAUAAUAGACUUAUAUUUAGGACCUAAGAAUUACAAAGCCUCUGCUUUAUUAGAUUCGGGAGCCUCAGCAUGUUUUUUAGAUGAACAGUUUGUUAAAAGUCGUAAAAUACCCUAUGUACAGAAACCUAAACUAGUACAUGUAGAAGUCAUAGAUGGUCGUCCCUUGUCUUCUGGAGAUGUCACUCAUGAAACUCAUCCUAUAAAAGUAACAAUAGACGGUCAUGAUAGCUACAUAGCUUUUAACAUAAUUAAAUCCCAGUCCAAUCCAGUUAUUUUAGGUUUAUCCUGGCUAGAAAAAUAUAACCCUCGAAUAGAUUGGAAUUCGCGUAAACUUGACUUUUCCAAAAGUGUUAUUAAUAGUUCUACAAACCAAGUAAAAAAUUAUAAGUCUAGUACAGUAAAACCCGUACUGAUAGGUGCAAAAGCAUUUAUACACGCAGCAAAAGAAGGAUCAACUUUUGCUAUUUAUGCUGCACCUAUUUCUGAAAACGUAAAGACUUCAAGUGGCAUUCCAAGUCAAUAUCAGGAGUAUCAAGACGUUUUUGAGAAAAAGAAUGCAGAUAUUCUUCCUAAGCAUCGUCCAUAUGAUUGUUCAAUCGACCUCAAGGAAGGAACUCAACCACCAUUUGGACCAAUUUACAGUUUAUCGCAAGAUGAGAUGGCUGAACUCAAGACAUAUAUUGACGAGAAUUUAGCGAAGAAUUUCAUACGCCAUUCAAAAUCUCCAGCAGGAGCUCCAAUUCUAUUUGUAAAGAAAAAAGAUGGAUCUUUACGAAUGUGUGUUGAUUAUCGAGGACUCAACAAGAUCACAAUCAAGAACAGGUAUCCAUUACCUUUGAUAUCAGGACUCCUUGACCAGUUGAAUCAAGCUAAGAUCUAUACAAAAAUAGAUCUAAGAGGAGCAUAUAAUCUAGUACGGAUCAAAGAAGGAGAUGAAUGGAAGACUGCGUUUCGAACCAGGUAUGGACAUUUCGAAUAUAAUGUCAUGCCCUUUGGACUCACAAAUGCACCAGCUGCUUUUCAACAUCUCAUGAAUGAUGUAUUUCGUGAAUUCUUAGACAAUUUUGUCGUCUGCUAUCUAGACGAUAUCCUGAUCUAUUCCAAGAACGUCGAAGAACAUGAAAUACAUGUUCGUCAAGUAUUACAAAAACUUAGAGAUGCAAGAUUGUACGCCAAGAUGGAAAAGUGUGUAUUUCACACUACUCAAGUUGACUUUUUAGGAUACAUCAUUUCAAAUGAUGGUCUCAUGAUGGAUUCUAAGAAAGUCCAAACAAUCGUGGAUUGGAAGAUUCCAAGGACAGUAAGAGAUGUUCAAUGUUUCUUGGGAUUUGCCAAUUACUAUCGGAUCUUCAUCAAAGAUUUCUCACGAGUUGCAGCUCCACUUACACGCUUGACUAGUAAAGAUAAAUUUCAAUGGAAUCAAGAAGCGGAAGCAGCAUUUGAAGCCUUGAAGACAUCGUUUGUCUCUGCACCAGUCUUAUAUCGUGUUGACUUUUCCAAGGCAUUUUUUAUGGAAACAGAUGCAUCAGAUUUUGCCUUGGGUGCAGUUUUAUCACAAAUGGGAACAGAUGACAAACUCCAUCCGAUAGCUUUUCAUUCAAGAAAAUUCUCAGCAGCCGAGAUCAAUUAUGAGAUCCACGAUAAAGAACUUCUUGCGAUCGUGGAUUCCUUUCAAGAAUGGCGUCAUUAUCUAGAAGGCGCUUCUAGUCCAGUCACUGUGUAUACAGAUCACAAGAACCUCGAGUAUUUCAUGUCAGCACGCGUGUUGAAUCGUCGUCAAGCUCGUUGGAGUAUGUCUUUGUCAAGAUUCGAGUUCAUUAUCACUUAUCGGCCAGGAAAACAACAAGGUUUAUCCAAUGCCCUAUCUAGACGUUCUUAUUUUGCACCAAAAGAAGGAGAUGCAGCUUUUGAGCAACAAAGAACGGUCCUCUUGAAACCGGAGCAAUUUCAUCUCCGAGCAAUGAAAUCAACAUUGACUGUUGAUUCAACUUUUCUGAAGCAAAUCCAGUCGAGUAUGUCCUCAGACCCUCUUGUUUAUGAUAUCGAGAAUAAUUCUUCCAAGUCUCAUGAUCCUUCUAAGUUUGAGUUCAAGAAUAAUCUAUUAUAUUUUGAAGGACGCCUAUAUGUUCCAGAAGGAGAAGCACGUUUACGUGUUCUUCAAGCACGUCAUGACUUUCCAGCAGCAGGGCACUUUGGAUAUAAUAAGACUUUGGAACUCAUAUCAAGAGAUUUUUGGUGGCCACAAAUGUGGAAGUCAGUCAAAGACUUUGUACAAUCAUGUGAUAUUUGUUCAAGAUCAAAAAUUCCUCGUCAUCGACCUUACGGACUUCUUCAGCCAUUACCUAUACCAGAACAACCAUGGUCUUCUGUUUCUAUGGAUUUCAUCACAGAUCUUCUAAGCUCAAGAUCUUAUGAUUCUAUAUUUGUGAUAGUAGAUCGUUUCACCAAGAUGGCACAUUUUGUGCCAUGUACAAAAUCUAUCACAGGUGAAGAAACAGCUAAGCAUUUCAUUGAUAAUAUCUAUCGCUAUCAUGGAUUACCUAAAGAUAUCAUAUCGGAUAGAGGAACUCAAUUUGUGUCAAGAUUUUGGAGGACCCUUUUCAAGAUUUUAAAAGUGGACAUAAAACUAUCUUCGGCUUUUCAUCCUCAAACUGAUGGACAAACAGAGCGCGUAAACCAAGUCUUGGAGCAAUAUUUAAGGUGUACUAUCAACUACCAACAAGAUGAUUGGACAACCCUUCUGCCAUUGGCAGAGUUUGCUUAUAAUAAUACGGUACAUUCUUCCAUUUAACAAACACCUUUCUUUGCCAAUUAUGGCUAUCAUCCACGACUUGAUACUUUUGAUUUUUCAAAAGUUGAUAAUCCUGCAGCAUAAGAUAUGGCAAAUCGGUUGUCAGAGUUACAUGCAAUAAUGAAGACACAAUUGAAGGAAGCUCAAGAACGACAAAAGAUAAACGCAGAUCUAUAUCGUAAGGAGCAACCACAGAUCAACGUCGGUGAUAAGAUGGAGAGCCAACAACCAGCAGAUUCAACUCAAGAACCUUCGUUUGCUGACCUGUCGGAUGAGACAUUACGAUUGUCACAACCUUCAAGACGACUCAAUCGAGAUGAAGAUCUUCAAGAACGACAUGUUCUUCCUCGAACAGAUGGUGAGAUACAACGCGUUUGGUAUCACGAUUUGGGAAGGGACUCCCGAUGUUUGGUGAUUUUGCUAGAGGUAGGAACAACUCCUGAUGGUGUUCCGAAUAUUCUAUUCGAAGGAAGUUGUGAAGGCCUCAAUAAUGAUCAAAUAACUGGGUGGUCUUCCCGCCCUGGUAUGGGACACUACCGAUGGUUGAGAGGCCCUAUCAAUCAUCUUCGAAGAGAACAGAGAUCAGAGUAUGUGGCGAAUACAAUUCGUCGCAUCAUAGAUUUCCUCAACAUAUGAUGACCGCUCCUCGUGGAACUCGUCUCUAGAAGGGGAGGUAAUGUCACGGCCAUAAUCAUGUAAGUUAAUAAUUACAUAUAGAAAUAGGUAGAAAUAAGUAAAAGUAGAUAAAAGUAAGUUAAUUGUAUAAUAUUUAAUAUAGAAGCUUCCUAGAAACUUCCUAGACGCUGCUUUGACUUCAUAGGUGUCUUUAAUUGACUUUUUGGAUUAGAAACGUGGUCAAUAAGUUGGCCAUGUGCCACACAUGUUAUUAGCUUGAAGAUCAAGCUAACUAUGUGGCCCACACGUAGAAAAACUUGCCUUGUAAGUCAAGGCAUGUGUCCUACAAAGUCAACACAUAUUGGAGGUCCUAUAGAACGUCGCCACGUAGCCCCUAGUUAGAUAGUAUAUAUAGAGACAAGAGUGAAGGCUUCUUCACUCUUGUCAACUCCUUUCUUGCUUCUAGUCCAGGUUCAAGAGUCUUUAGUUUCUUGUCUUGUGGCAAUAGCCAUUUCAGUUUCCUUUUAAUAUACCUACUUGUUUAUAUUUUGACUUAUUAUAUCGAGAUAGCCUUUUGGUGUAUAUUUUUCCUCAUCGAGUCUUUGUCCUUGACACUUGCCAUCAUCAAACUCAUUUGACAGCAUCUUUGUCGUGGUAGAUCAGCUUACGAAGAUGGCACACUUUGUUCCUUGUAAGAAGACAUCGUCCAGUGAAGUCACAGAAAGACUCUUUCUCGAUAAUAUGUAUCGAUAUCAUGGACUACCAGAUGAUAUCAUAUCAGAUCGAGGUACCCAGUUCGUGUCAAAGUUUUGGAGAUCUCUCUUUGGAAUAUUGAAGGUGGAUAUCAAGCUUUCUUCAGCUUUUCAUCCUCAAACUGAUGGCCAAACGGAACGGGUGAACUAAGUCUUGGAGCAGUACUUACAAUGUACCAUCAACUAUCAGCAAGACGAUUGGACUGCAUAUCUACCGUUAGCCGAGUUUGCAUAUAACAACACCCUCCAUGCGUCGACUCAAUACACACCAUUCUUUUUCAACUAUGGGUAUCAUCCAAAGCUUGAUUUAUUGAGUCCAUCAACAAAUAACAAUCCAGCAGCUGAAGGAUUUGCGAAGCAACUAUCAGAGCUUCAAACUAUGUUGAAGCUUUAAUUACAAUCCGCUCAAGAAUCCUAUAAGACGUCUGCAGAUAGAUUUUGGAAUCGAGCACCUACUUUCAAAGUUGGAGACAAAGCCUGGCUUCUUCGACGAAAUAUCAAGACCAAGCGACCAUGUGAUAAGUUGGACUAUCCAAGAUUGGAACCAUUUAUCAUCCAGAAGCAAAUUAAUUCAGUGGCAUACCGGCUGGAGUUACCGGCUUCUAUGAAAGUACAUCCAGUCUUUCAUGUUUCUCUGUUGGAACCUUAUCGAGGGUCAUCUUUUCUUGAAAGAGUGCAAUGUCCGCCACCUAGUAUUGAAAUCGAGAACCACGAAGAAUACGAGGUUGAAAAGGUAUUGGAUUCACGGCGAAGGUGGGGAAAGUUAGAAUAUCUUAUUCAUUGGUGCGGCUAUGACAUUAAUGAACGAACGUGGGAGCCAGCUGAAAAUCUUGCGAAUGCACUACAAAAGGUACAGGAGUUUCAUCAACGACAUCCCGAUAAACCUAAAUCAAUUCGAUGAUAGCUUCUUUCUGAAGCUUGUUCUUCCAACAAUAUAAGAAAAAGAGAGAGCACGAGCAAAAUUCAUAGUUGAUGUAGUUAUUUUCUCCAAGAUAGAUCGUAGUUUGGUCUUUAGAUAUGGAUAGCCAAGAGAUAGAUAAUAUGCCAGUCAGAGUAUUGCAACCGAGUAGCUCACGAAGGCGACCCCAAGAUGAAGAACUACAUGUACCACGACGACAACGGAGGAUACCGAGUAACCGAUCACUGGUGAUUGUAUUUGAGAUCGAGCUUGCUUACGAUGUUCAACCAGAAGGCGUGUUUGCAAGAUAAUUUCACAAUGAGGACAAGGAAGUUCAUGCUUGGUCAGAAGUCGAAGGCGUAGGCCACUACCGUUAGCUUCAAGGGUCAAUGAACCACUUGCCUCGUGAACAACAGUUGGAGUUCAUAGCAGAAGUUAUGCGACAGAUCUUCAUUUUCUUGCGUUGGUACUGAUCAAUAACAUUGCUUCUCAAUAACCUCAAAGCUAAAGGAGGGGGUGAUAUUAGGGACAUAUUCCUUAGAACUUUCUAGAGAGAAGUUUCUAGAACCUUCUAGAAAACAAGCCUCUGGAACCUUCUAGAAGAGAAGCCUCUGGAAACUUUUAGAGAAAAGUUUUUAGAAGCUUCUAGAAAGGAAGUCUCUGGAACCUUAUAGAAGAGAAGUUUCUAGAAGCUUCUAGAAAGGAAUCCUCUAGAACUUUCUAGAAGCUUCCUAGUUAAUAGAAGUAGCUCGAGAAGUUUCUAGAACCUUCUAGAAAGGAAGCCUCUGGAACCUUAUAGAAGCUUCCUAAUUAAUAGAAGUAGCUCGAGAAGCUUCCUAAGUAGGAGUAUAUAUAGGGAUCGAGACUGAAGAGUUCUUCAGUCUCGACAACACAUCUCUUGGAGUUCUAGUUCACCUUUCUGGUGUUGUUCUUGUACUCAUCUGUUUAAUCUAGUUCUGCCACUUCUUCUUGAACUUCUUGUUAGAUUUCAAGUCUGUAUUUUGUUUCCGUGACAUAAAAUCACCAAACAUUGGAAGUCUCUUCCAAGGUUGUGAUACCAAACAUGUUGAAUCUUGUUAUGAAUUUGAGUAAGGACAUGUCUCUCUUGAGGAUCUUCAUUUCAAUUUUAUUGUCUUGAAGAUUAUGACAAUCGUAAUGUGUCAUCUAAUAAGUCCAUAAAAAAAAGUUCUUGAGUUGAAUUUGCUCAUUGUUGAGUUUCCAUCUUUUCAAUGUCACAAAUACACAAAAGAUACAAAAAAAGAUAGAAGAUAGAAUGCAAUCUUUUUCGGACCUUGUUUCUUUUAUAAUAAAGACUUACUAUUCUUCAUAUUGUUUUAGAUAGAUAUCAUUGAUGAAAAUCCUCUACUGCCUUUGUUGCAUUUGCAAGAUUCUUUAUUGGCACCCAUGUAUAUUUAUUAAUAUUAUAUCCAUGCUAAUGUAUAAGAUAUUUUAAUUUAUUUAGGGGCCCCCUUGAGUUUAAAACUCCUUUUACUUCAAAUUCUUCAUUAUUAUCCACUUUUAUAAGAGGAGGUGGAGCUUGUCUUUUUUUUGUUAUAUUCAUAGUCUUGUAUGGUUCAAAAAGAGAUACGUGGAAGACAUCAUGGUCCUUCAUUGCCUCCGAUAAAUAUAACCAAUUAGCAAUUAGAUUGAUUUAUCUAUAAAUAGAAAAAGGUUCAAACUUGUGGUAGUCCAACUUUUCAGAAGGACAAAUAAACUUGAUAUUACAAUGAAGCAACCACACCAUGUCACCUAUAUUGAAUUGUGGUUGUUCUUUUUCAUAGGCAUUUACGUUGAUCUUUUGUCAUUUUUGAGCUUCCUUUAAUUGCACCUUCAUUGUUGUAUGUAGCUUUGACAAAUGAUUUUUUAAACCUUUUAUCCCAAGUUUAUCAAUUUUUGAAAAGUCAAAAGUAUCAAGUCGUGGAUGGUAAUCAUAAUUGACAAAGAAAGAUGUUUGUUGCAUAGAAGAAUGCAUUGUAUUAUUGUAAGCAAACUCUGCCAAUGACAAGAGGGUUUUUCAAUCAUCUUAUUGAUAAUUGAUGGUAUACCUUACGUAUUGCUCCAAAACUUGGAUUACAUGCUCUAUUUGUCCAUGAAUUUGAAGAUGAAAGGCCAAAGAAAGCUUUAUGUCCAUCUUUCAAAUCUUAAAAAGAAUUAUCCGAAAUCUUGAUAUAAAUUGAGUCCUUCUAUCUAACAUAAUAUCUUUUAGCAAUCCAUAAUAUCAAUAAAUAUUAUCAAAGAAAAGCUUUGCAGUUUUUUCACCUGUGAUAGAUUUUGUGCACGGAAAAAAAUGUGCAAUUUUCAUAAAAUGAUCUACUAUCACAAAUAUAGAAUCACACAUUUAUGAAACUGGAAGAUCCAUAAUAAAAUCCAUAGAAAUAUAAGACCAUAGUUGUUCUGGAAUAGAUAAUGGUUGAAGAAGACUAUAAGAUCCAUGCUGAGGAAUUUUUGACCUUGAACAAAUGUCACACGAUUGAAUAAAGUCUUUCACAACCUUUCAAAUUUGCAGCCACUAAAAAUCUCUAGAUAUUAGUUAUAGAGUCUUGUUGCAUCCAAAAUGUCCUACUGUCAAGGACAAGAACUCGACAAAAAAGCAAUUCAGACAAGUGAGCCUUCACUCAAAAAAAGGUAAUAAAAUAUAAAUAAACAAGUAUAUAUAUUGAAAGAGAAACUGGAAUGGCUAUUGCCAAAAGACAAGAAAACUAGAGACUCUUGAAAUUAGACUAGAAGCAAGAAAGGAGUUGACAAGAAUGAAGAAGGAAGGCUUCACUCUUCUCUCUAUAUAUACUAUCUAACUAGGGACUACGUGGCGAUGUUCUAUAGGACCUCCAAUAUGUGUUGACUUUAUAGGACACAUGCCUUAACUUACAAGGCAAGUUUUUUUACGUGUGGACCACAUAGUUAGCUUGAUCUUUAAGCUAACAACAUGUGUGGCACAUAGCCAACUUGUUGACUAUGUUUCUAAUCCAAAAAGUUAAUUAAAGACACUUAUGAAGUCAAAGUAAUAUCUAUAAAGCUUCUAAGAAGCUUUCAUAUUAAAGACUAUAGAAUUAACUUAUUUUUACCUACUUUUACUUACUUCCACCUAUUUGUAUAAGUAAUUAUUAGCUUACAUGAGUAUGUCCGUGACAUUAACCCCUCUUCUAGGAACAAGUUCCACGAAGAGUGGUCAUCAUAUGUUGAAAAAUCUAUGAUGCGACGAAUUAUAUUUGCCACAUAUUCUAAUCUUUGUUUUCUUCGAAGAUGAUUGAUAGGGCCUCUCAACCAUCGGUAGUGUCCCAUACCAAGGCAGAAAGACCAUCCAGUUAUUUGAUCAUUGUUGAGGCCUUUAUAACUUCUUUCAAAUAGAACAUUUGAAACACCAUCAGGAAUUGUUCCUACCUCUAGCAAAAUCACCAAAUAUCGGGAGUCCCAUCCCAAAUCGUGAUACCAAAUGCAUUGUAUCUCGCUAUCUAUUCGAGGAAAAACAUACCAUUCUUGAAGAUCUUCAUCACAACUAUAAAAAAGCUACAAAUAAGGAUUGAAAGUAGAAUGUUAUUUUGUCUAGAUGUUGUUUCUUUUAUAAAGAAGGUUUUCAUCUUGAUUUUGAUGGAUGUCGUUGAUGAAAAGCCUCCAUCACCUUUUUUGUAUUUAUAAGAUUCUUUAUAAGCUCCCAUGUGCAUUCACAAAUAUCAUAUCCGUGCCAAUGGACAACAUAUUUUAAUUUAUUUCGGGGCCGCCUUGAAUCUAAGACUUCUUCUACUUCAAACUCUUCAUUAUUGUCCACUUCAAUAGGAGGAGGUGGAGCUUGUUAUCUUCUUGGUAUGUCCAUUAUCUUGUAUGAUUCAAGAAGAGAUACGAGGAAUAUUAGAUGGAUUUUCAUUGACUUUGGUAGAUGUAAACAACAUGCAAUUGGAUUGAUUUGUAUAAAAAUAGAAAAUGGUCCAAGUCUUCGAUAGUCCAACUUGUCACAAGGACGAGUGGUCUUGAUAUUGUGAUGAAGUAGCCAUACCUUAUCACCCAAGAAGAAUGGUGGUUGUUCUUUUUGAUAGACAUCCGCAUUGACCUUUUGUUGUUCUUGAGCCUCUUUUAACUGCGCCUUCAUCGUUGCAUGUAGCUCUGAUAAAUGAAUCGCCAAAUCUUUCGCAAUAGGAUUAUCAACUUUUGAAAAGUCAAAAGUAUCAAGUCAUGGAUGAUAACCAUGAUUAGCAAAGAAAGGUGUUUGUUUUGAAGAAGAAUGUACCGUAUUAUUGUAAGCAAACUCUGCCAAUAACAAAAAAGUUGUCCAAUCAUCUUGUUGGUAAUUAAUGGUACAUCUUAAAUAUUGCUUCAAAUCUUCAUUAAUACGCUGCGUUUGUCCAUCAAUUUGAGGAUAGAAUGCCAAAGAUAGUUUUAUAUCUACUUUUAGAAUCUUAAAAAGAAUCCGCCAAAAUCUUGAUACAAAUUGAAUUUUCCUAUCUGAUAUAAUAUCCUUGGAUAAUCCAUGAUAGGAAUAGAUAUUGACAAGAAAGAGCUUAGGUGUUUCUUCACCUGUGAUAGAUUUUGUACAUGGCACAAAAUGUGCCGUCUUAGUAAAAUGAUCUAUUAUCACGAAUAUAGAGUCAUAAGAACCUGGGAUUGGAAGAUUCGUGAUGAAGUCCAUAGAAACAGAAGACCAUAAUUGUUCAUGAAUGGAUAAUGGCUGAAGAAGUCCAAAAGAUCGAUGACAAGGAGUUUUUGAUCUUGAGCAAACAUCACAUGAUUAUACAAAAUCUUUGACUGCCUUUCACAUUUGAGGCCUUCAAAAAUCCUUAGAUAUCAGCUCUAAAGUUUUAUUAUAUCCAAAAUGUUGUGUAGCUGGGAAGUCGUGACGAGCUUGAAGAAUACGUAAACGUGCUUCUCCUUCUGGAACAUAUAGGCAUCCUUUGAAAUAGAAUAGGUUGUUCUUGAAUUCUAAUUUAGAGGGAUCAUGAGAUUUAGAAGAAUUAUUCUUGAUAUCAUGAACAAGAGGGUCUGAAGACAUACUUAACUGGACUUGCUUAAGAAAAGUUAAAUCAACAGUCAAUGUUGAUUUUAUUGCUCGAAGAUGAAAUUGCUCCGACUUCUAGAGAACCAUUCUUUGUUGCUCAAAAGCUGCAUCUCCUUCUUUUGGUAUAAGAUAGGAAUGUUUAGACAAGGUAUUAGACAAACCUUGUUGUUUUCUUGGCCGAUAAGUGAUGAUAAACUCGAAUCUUGAUAAAGACAUGCUCCAACAAGCUUGACGACGAUUUAAUAUGUGUGCUGACAUGAAAUACUCGAGGAUCUUGUGAUCCAUAUACACUGUGACUGGACUGGAAGCGCCUUCUAGAUAAUGACGCCAUUCUAGAAAAGAAUCCACAAUUCAAAGAUGUUCUUUGUCAUAGAUCUCAUAAUUGAUUUUUGUUGUUGAGAAUUUUCUUGAAUGAAAGGCUAUUGGAUGAAGUUUAUCAUCUAUUCCCAUUUGUGAUAAAACCGCACCUAGAGCAAAAUCUGAUGCAUCUGUUUCCAUAAAGAAUGCUUUGGAAAAAUCAACAUCAUACAAGAUUGGUGCAGAAACAAACGCUAUUUUCAAAGAUUCAAAAGCAACUUCCCCUUCUUGAUUCUAUUAGAGUUUGUCUUUACAAGUCAAACGUGUAAGUGGAGCUGCAACUCGAGAGUAGUCCUUGAUAAAGAUAUGAUAGUAGUUGGCAAAUCCCUAAAAGCAUUGGACAUCUCUUACUAUUUUUGAGAUCUUCCAAUCUAUAAUAGUUUGAACUUUCUUAGGAUCCAUCAUAAGUCCAUCAUUUGAAAUGAUGUAACCUAAGAAAUCGACUUGAGUAGUAUAGAAUACACACUUUUCUAUCUUAGCAUAGAGUCAUGUAUCUCUUAAUUUUUUUAAUACAUGACGAACAUGAAGUUCAUAUUCUUCGGGAUUCUUAGAACAGAUCAAUAUGUCGUCUAGAUAACAGACCACAAAAUCGUCCAAAAACUCUUGAAAAACAUCAUUCAUUAGAUGUUGAAAAGCUGCUGGUGCAUUUGUAAGUCCAAAAGGCAUGACGUUGUAUUCAAAAUGUCCAUACCUAGUUCGAAACGCAGUCUUCCAUUCAUCUCCUUCUUUGAUGCAUACUAGAUUGUAUGCUCCACGGAGAUCUAUUUUUGUAUAGAUCUUAGCUUGAUUCAGCUGAUCAAGAAGUCCAGAUAUUAAAGGUAGUAGAUACCUGUUUUUGAUGGUAAUCUUGUUGAGUCCUCGAUAAUCAACACACAUCCGUAAUGAUCCAUCUUUUUUCUUCACAAAUAGAAUUGGAGUUCCUGUUGGAGAUUUAGAAUGGCGUAUGAAAUUCUUGCCUAGAUUUUCUUCAAUAUACUUUUUGAGUUUACUCAACUCAUUUUGUGAUAAACUGUAGAUUGGUCCGAAUGGCGGUUGUGCUCCUUUUUGAAGGUGAAUUGAGCAAUUAUAGGGAUAAUGUUCUGGGAGUAUAUCCGCAUUUUUUUCCAAAUACAUCUUGAAAUUCUUGAUAUUGGCUUGGAAUGCCACUUAAAGUCUUUUCACAAGUAGAAACAGGUGUGACAUAAAUAAUAUAUGGUGAUUCUUUCAUAGCAGCAUAUAAGAAAGCUUUUGCACCUAUAAAUACGGGUUUAAUUGAACUAGACUUAUAACUCCCUACUUGAUUAACUACUUUGUUAGUUAUACUUUUAAAGAAAGUAAGAGUUCAAAAAAUCCAAUCUAUUUGAGGGUUGUAUUUUUCUAACCAUGACAAAGCUAAAAUGACUGGAUUAGAAGGAGAUCUAAUGAUAUUAAAUACUACAAAACUAUUAUGACCAUUGAUUAUUACUUCUGUAGGAAGGAUUUCAUAAAUAAUAUCUCCAGAAGACAAUGGACGACCAUCUAUGACUUCUACAUGAACAGGUUUAGUUUUCUUUAUUAAAGAUAUGCUAUGUCUUUUAGUAAAUUCUUCAUCUAAAAAACACGCGGAGGCUCCCGAAUCUAACAAGGCAGAGACUUUGUAAUGUUUAAGUCCUAAAAUAAUAUUUAAUGUAAAACAAGGAGAGGGCUCUAAGGAGAGAAUAGGACCUUUAUUAGAUGUUGUGCAAGGUUCCAGUCGCAUGGUUCUUAUUGUAGCUGGAUAAAUUCGUUUUCCGACAUAUUAUCUUUUUUCACAGCCAUAAUCCUAAUUUUGUGAUUACGUCAUUUCUUUGGACAAUGUUGAGCAGUGUGCUUUGAUUCUCCACAAUAUAAACAUAAUCCUUCUUGACGACAACAAGUCUUUUCUUACUCAGUAAGAGGUUUGAAACGUACUACAUCAAUUUGCAUAUCCUCUACUUCCGAAUGUAUGUGUUGAAGAGGUGUUGGUGUUACCAUUGAAUUAUAGUAAUGUUGAGGUCCACUUGUACGGAUCUCAGAUCGAAAUUCAAAAAGGCAAUUGUUACACUUUACAACAAAGUCAAUUGCUUGACUCAAUGUUUGAAGAUCAGGUAAAUUGAACAUUUAUUUUUUUACUUCAUAUUGUAAUCCGUAGAGAAAUUGACUAAUAAGUAUAGCAUCAUCCCACUUGAUAUCAGUUGCAAAUUGUCAAAAUUGUGAAGCAUUGUCAUGUUGUAACACGAGUAUACCGUGAAAAUAUAAAGAAAUGGGACUUUUAUUAAUAUACAGUUACCUCGAAUAUUGGGAGCAACGACCAAUUCCAGUGCAAAUACUGAGAGGCCAGGGUCAGUCACCCCGUUACAGUCAUCUAGGGCAUACUGAAAUGCUCCAUUCGAUUCCAAUAAUGGGAGUCAGCUUGAAGGGAAAGGACCAAUUCAACGACGGGUGAGCCUGGUUCAAAGAGCCAAUUGGAUCCAAUUUCAAGAUAUCCAAUCCAGGUCCUCUUACCCAAUAUGAGACCUGAAUUGGUCGGGCAACCCAAUGCUGUCUAAUUACGGGAAAAUCCAGGUCUUACUACGGGCCUUAGCCAAUCUGACGCGAAGGACCAAUUUGAUCCAAUUACGGGAACAUCCGGGUCUUACUACUGGACUCUUAGCCAAUAUGAGACCUGAAUUGGUCGGGCCACUCAAUGUGGUCCCGAUUAUGGGGUUUCGAUUCUGUUUCAGGCUGUCCUGUUCUCUGUGCCGUUUCAAGGAACGUUGUUUUCAGUAAAAGGAUCUCUUAAAGGUAAAUAUAGAAGAGAGAACUCUAAUGGCGGGAGCCAAUUCCGGAUCCAAGAUGGAAGAUUGAAGAAAUUCAGAGGCUAGGAUUUGAAAGAGGGGAGAAUUAGGGUUAAAGAGGAGGAUAGGUUAAGAAAUGAAGGAGAGAGAAUAAGUUUUUUUAGAGGGGUCGAAGAGCUAGCUUCAUGCUUCGGGCGGAGAAAAAAGACAAAGAAUUGGGUUUUUUUUCUUCAUAGGAUUUUGGGAAGACUGAGGCAAUCGUUGCUGAAGUCAGUGUUGUAAUGGUGAAUCGGGAUUUUUAAUGAAGUGGAUUUGAUUACUCUUGACUAUUUUGUGAAAUCGAGUUACAUCUGUGAUGAAGAAUUAAAAGGGUGUCUAUAGGAUUGAGUAUGCAAAGUGAAUGAAAAUUGUUGGAUUAAUCUAACGAGACAGUCAGUGGAUACAAGAUCGUGAGUAUAAAGCGGUAUCAAAGAUUAGCAGUUUGGGUUGUUCGGGGUUCUUUGUAACGUCUAGAGACCUACCGACUGGAGCAAAAAGGACUUUGGCGAGCAAUCGAAGGACAUCCGUAUAGAUUUAUGAUGUAUUCUUGUAGUCGUUUAUAUUCCAACAAUCAAUAAUCGAUAGACUGCUUGAAUAUUGGUGAAUCUCUAUACUACCUUCUACAGCCAAAUGCUCGACGCGUUCUCGAGCAGGAAAGCACGUAGUAUGAUAGCGUACAAUAUUAUUGAUCGAUUGCCUUAUCGUAAAAUAUGGAUCUUAUUGGUUGCAACACAAAUUACAUCAUGCUCUCCAUACAUGGAUCGAAACUCCACCAAAAAAGCAUCUAGAUUAUCCAAUAUUGGAUCUCGUCAUUCAAGAAAAGAUAAAAACCACAAUAGUGCUGAACUUCAAAGAAGCAUAUCAAUGAAUCUAACUUGUGAUCCUGAAAUUAGAUAGCUUUGGGGUUGAAGUUCAAUCACAAGUUGCACUUUAUUGAUAAAUCCUUGAAACUUGGAUCUAGUGCCAUCAAACUUCUCAGAUAGGACAAUUCUUGGUUCUCUAACACUGGAAGGGCGUUCCACCAUAGGAGAAAGGACAUGGUUUGAUACAGAUAUUAAAGUAGCUCCAACCAUUUCUAUAUCUUCACUUCCUAUCAAUCUUGUUGCUUCUUGUGGUGGUAUAUUGAGUUGAUGCAUCGCAAGCAUUAACUCCUUCAAUUGCUCUUGCAUUUGUGCCAUUGCACUCUUCAUUUCAAUAAGUUUUGUCCUGAUAAUAGUAAGAAAAGAGAAGAUGUCUUAUAUCGCUCAAGACAAAUAGAAGAGAGGACUUUAGAAUAAAGAAAAUACUAAAAAUAAUAUUAGUUUAGAAGAGGGUAAUCCGUAAUUUCUAAUAUGCUUAAAUCUUAUCAAGAAAAAGGGGUAAUCUACUCUUAAUUAAGAUUAGACAAAGCUUUGAUAUUGUGGUGUACUCUUGUCAAUCUUUCAAGGACAAGAACUCGAUGAGAAAGCAAUUCAGACAAGUGAGCCUUCACUCAAAGAAACAUAACAAAAUACAAAUAAGCAAGUAUGUAUAUUGAAAGAGAAAUUGGAAUGGCUAUUGCCAAAAGACAAGAAAAUUAGAAACCCUUGAAACUAGAUUGGAAGCCAGAAAGGAGUUGACAAGAGUGAAGAAGGCUUCACUCUUGUCUCUAUAUAUACUAUCUAACUAGAGGCUAUGUGGCGACGUUCUAUACGACCUCCAAUAUGUGUUGACUUUGUAGGACAUAUGCCUUGACUUACAAGGCAAGUUUUUCUACAUGUGGAGCACAUAGUUGGCUUGAUCUUCAAGCUAACAACAUGUGUGGCAUAUAGCUAACUUGUUGACCACGUUUCUAAUCCAAAAAGUCAAUUAAAGACACCUAUGAAGUCAAAACAGCAUCUAUUAAGCUUUUGGGAAGCUUCCAUAUUAAAUACUAUAGAAUUAACUUAUUUUUAUAUAUUUUUACUUACUUCCAUGUAUUUGUAUAUGUAAUUAUUAGCUUACAUGAGUAUGUCUGUGACACCUACUGUUGGAAAAUUAUGAUGUGCUUCUCAUUCAAGUACAUACAGGUGUCGUUCGAAAUAAAGUAGGUUGUUCUUAAACUUAAACUUAGAAGUAUAACAAGACUUAGAAGAAGUAUUCUUGAUAUUAUGAACAAGAGGAUCAAAAGACAUACUUGAUUGACUUUGUUUGAAAAAAGUUAAAUCAACAGUCAAUGUUGAUUUCACUACUCAAAGAUGAAAUUGUUUUGACUUUAAUUAAAUUGUCUUUUGUUGAUUAAAAGUUGCAUCUCUUUCUUUAGGGACAAAAUAAGAACGUGGUUAAAGAGCAUCGAACAAAUUGUUGUUUUCUUGACUAAUAAUUAAUAUUCAAAUCAAAGCUUGACAAAGACAUAUUCCAAUGAGCUAUCUAGGACAUGAACUCCAAUAAAAGAUAAUCUCAAUACACUCUUGUGUGACUCGAAAAUACUUAGAAAUCACUCAAAGGUAAUAAUAUUUUCAACUAGAAUGGCUAUUACCAAAGACUAGAAAACAUGACGACUCUUGAAACUAGACUAGAAAUAAGAAAGGAGUUGACAAGAGUGAAGAAGGCUUCACUCUUGUCUCUAUAUAUACUAUCUAACUAGGGGCUAUGUGGCAACGUUCUAUAAGACCUCGAAUAUGUGUUGACUUUGUAUGACACUUGCCUUGACUUACAAGACAAGUUUUUCUACAUGUGGGCGACAUAGUUAGCUUGGUUUUCAAGCUAACAAGAUGUGUGGCACAUGGCUAACUUGUUGACCAUGUUUCUAAUCCAAAAAGUCAAUUAAAGACACCUAUGAAGUCAAAGCAAUGUCUAUAAAGCUUCUGAGAAGCUUCCAUAUCAAAUACUAUAGAAUUAACUUACUUUAAUCUAAUUUUACUUACUUCUACUUAUUUAUAUAUGUAAUUACUAGCUUACAUGAAUAUAUCCGUGAUAUUACCUCCCCUUCUAGGGACGAGUUCUACGAGGAGCGGUCAUCAUAUGUUGAGGAAAUUUGUGAUGCGUCAAAUUAUAUUUGCCACAUACUCUGAUCUUUGUUCUCUUCGAAGAUGAUUGAUAAGGCCUCUCAAUCAUUGGUAGUGUCCCAUACCAGGGCGGGAAGACCAUCUAGUUAUUUGGUUGUUGUUGAGGCCUUCAUAACUUCCUUCGAGUAGAACAUUUGGAACACCAUCAGGAGUUGUUUCAACCUCUAGUAAAAUCACCAAAUAUCAGAAGUCCCUUCCAAGGUCGUGAUACCAAACGCAUUAUAUUUCGCCAUCUAUUCAAAGAAGAACAUGUCAUUUUUGAAGAUCUUCAUCUUCAUUGCGUCAUCUUCAAGGUUGUGAUAAUUAUAAUGUCUCAUUCGACAUGUCAAUAAAUGAAGGCUCUUGAGUCGAAUGCAGUGGUUGUUGGUUUUUCAUCUCUUUAGUGUCAUAACUAUAAAAAUGCUACAAAAAAGGAUUGAAAGUAGAAUUUUAUCUUAUCUAGAUCUUGUUUCUUUUGUAAAGAAGAUUUUUAUCUUGGUUUUGAUGGAUGUCAUUGAUGAAAAGCCUCCACCGUCUUAACUGUAUUUACAAGAUUCUUUAUUGGCUCCCAUGUGCGUUCACAAAUAUCAUAUCCGUGCCAAUAGAUAAGAUAUUUCAAUUUAUUUUGGCGUCGCCUUGAAUCUAAGACUUCUUCCACUUCAAACUCUUUAUUAUUGUCCACUUCUAUAGGAGGAGGUGAAGCUUGUUUUUUUCUUGGUAUGUCCACUAUCUUGUAUGAUUCAAGAAGAGAUACGUGGAGUACUGUAUGGAUUUUCAUUGACUCUGGUAGAUGUAAACGAUACAAAAUUGAAUUGAUUUGUGCAGAAAUAGAAAAUGGUCCAAGCCUUGGAUAGUCCAACUUGUCACAAUGACGAGUGGUCUUAAUAUUGCAGCAAAGUAACCAUACUUUAUCACCUAUGUGGAAUGGUGGUUGUUCCUUUCGAUAGACAUCCACAUUUAUCUUUUGUCAUUCUUGAGUUUCUUUUAAUUGUGCCUUCAUUGCUGUAUGUAACUUUGAUAAUUGAUUUGCGAUAUCUUUUAUUGAAGGAUUAUCAACUUUUGAAAAAUCAAACGUGUCAAGUGGUGGAUGAUAACCAUAAUUGGCAAAGAAAGGUGUUUGUUGCAUAGAGGAAUGCACCAUAUUAUUAUAAGCAAAUUCUUCCAAUGGCAGAAGAGUUGUCCAAUCAUCUUGUUGAUAAUUGAUGGUACAUCUUAAGUUUUACUCCAAGACUUGAUUUACGCGCUUUGUCUGUCCGUUAGUUUGAGGAUAAAAAGCCAAAGAUAGUUUUAUAUCUACUUGUAUAAUCUUAAAAAGUAUUCUCCAAAAUCUUGAUAUAAACUGAGUUUUCUUAUUCGAUAUAAUAUCAUUUAAUAACCCAUGAUAGCGAUAGAUAUUGUCAAUAAAAAGCUUAGCUAAUUCUUCAUCCAUGAUGGAUUUUGUACAUGGCACAAAAUGUGCCAUCUUGGUGAAGCGAACUACUAUCACAAAUAUAGAGUCAAAAGAACCUGAGCUUGAAAGAUCUGUGAUGAAGUCCAUAGAAACAGAAGACCAUAGUUGUUCAUGAAUUAGUAAUGGUUGAAGAAGUCUAAAAGGUUGAUGAUAAGGAUUUUUUGAUCUUGACCAAACAUCACAUGAUUAUACAAAAUCUUUCACUGCCUUCCUUGUUUGACGCCUCUAAAAAUCCCUAAAUAUUAACUCUAAAGUCUUAUUGUAUCCAAAAUGUCCUGUUGCUGGAAAGUUGUGACGAGCUUGAAGAAUACGUAAACGUGUUUCUCCUUCUGGAACAUAUAGGUGUCUUUAGAAAUAAAGUAGGUUGUUAUUGAACUCGAAUUUAGAGGCAUCAUGAGAUUUAAAAGAAUUAUUCUUGAUAUCGUGAACAAGAGGGUCUGAAGACAUACAUAAUUAGACUUGCUUGAAAAAAGUUAAAUCAAUAGUCAAUGUUGAUUUUAUUGUUCAAAGAUGAAAUUACUCUAGCUUCAAGAGAAUCAUUUUUUGUUGCUCAAAAGCUGCAUCUCCUUCUUUUGGUGCAAGAUAAGAACGUCUAGACAAGGCAUCGGACAAACCUUAUUAUUUUUCUGGUUGAUAAGUGAUGAUAAACUCGAAUCUUGAUAAAGACAUGCUCCAACAAGCUUAACGACGAUUUAAUACAUGUACUGAUAUGAAAUACUUAAGGUUCUUAUGAUCCGUAUACACAGUGAUUGGACUUGAGGUGCCUUUUAGAUAAUGACACCAUUCUUGAAAUGAAUCCACAAUUGCAAGAAGUUCUUUAUCGUAGAUUUCAUAGUUAAUCUCGACUGCUGAAAAUUUCUUGGAAUGCAAUGUCACGGACAUACUCAUAUAAGCUAGUAAUUACAUAUACAAGUAGAUAAAAGUAAGUUAAUUCUAUAAUAUUUAAUAUAGAAGCUUUUUAGAAGCUUCAUAGAUGCUGCUUUGACCUCAUAGGUGUCUUUAAUUGACUUUUUGGAUUAGAAACGUGGUCAACAAGUUGGCCAUGUGCCACACAUGUUGUUCGCUUGAAGAUCAAACCAACUAUGUGGCCCACACGUAGAAAAACUUGCCUUGUAAGUCAAGGCAUGUGUCCUACAAAGUCAACAUAUAUUGGAGGUCUUACAGAACGUCGCCACGUAGCCCCUAGUUAGAUAUUAUAUAUAGAGACAAGAGUGAAGCCUUCUUCACUCUUGUCAACUCCUUUUUUGCUUCCAGUCUAGUUUCAAGGGUCUCUAGUUUUCUUGUCUUUUGGCAACAGCCAUUCUAGUUUCUCUUUCAAUAUACAUACUUAUUUAUUUAUAUUUUGUUACCUUUCUUUGAAUGAAGGCUCACUUAUCUGAAUUGCUUUUUUAUCGAGUUCUUGUCCUUGACAUACAAAGCUACUAGAUGGAGCUUGUCAUCUGCUCCCAUUUGUGACAAAACGACAUCCAAGGCAAAGUGUGAUGCAUCUGUUUUCAUAAAAAUUACCUUGAAAAAGUCGACGCAAUACAAGAUUGGUGCAGAAGUAAAUUCCUUCUUUAAAGCAUCAAACGCUACUUUAACUUCUUUACUCCAUUCAAAUUUGUCUUUACAAGUCAAACGCGUAAGUGGAGCUGCAACUUGAAAAAAGUUCUUAAUGAAGAUUGGAUAGUAAUUUGCAAAGCCCAAAAAGCAUUGCACAUGUUAUAUUGUUCUUAGAAUCUUCCAAUCUAUGAUAAUCUGGACCUUCUUAGGAUCCAUCAUCAGGCCUUUGUUGGAAAUGAUGUAUCCUAAAAAGUCAACUUGAGUAGUAUGGAAUAUACACUUUUCCAACUUAGCAUAUAAUCUUACAUCUCUUAGUUUUUGUAACACACGAUGAAUAUGGAGUUCAUGUUCUUCUAAGUUCUUAGAGUAGAUUAGAAUGUCGUCUAAAUAAUAAAUGACAAAAUCAUCUAAAAAUUCACAAAAAAUAUCAUUCAUAAGAUGUUGAAAAGCGGCUGGUACAUUUGUGAGUCCAAAAGGUAUGACAUUAUAUUCAAAAUAUCCAUACUUAGUUCGAAAAGUUGUCUUCCAUUCAUCUCCUUCUUUGAUGCGGACCAAGUUGUAUGCUCCUCGUAGUUUUAUUUUUGUGUAGAUCUUUGCUUGAUUGAGUUGAUCAAGAAGUCCUAAAAUCAAAGGUAAAGGAUACAUGUUUUUGAUGGUGAACUUGUUAAGGCCUCGAUAGUCUAUGUAUAUCCAUAGAGAUCCAUCUUUUUUCUUCACAAAUAAGAUCGGCGCUCCUGAUAGAGAUUUUGAAUGGCAUAUGAAGUUUUUAACCAAAUUCUUGUCAAUAUACUCCUUUAGUACAACCAACUCGUUUUAUAAUAAGUUAUAGAUUGGUCCAAAUGGCGGUUGAGCUCCUUCUUGAAGAUCAAUUGAACAAUCAUAAGGUCGAUGAACUGGAAGAAUAUCUGCAUUCUUCUUUUCAAAAACAUCUUGAAAUUCUUGAUAUUGACUAGGAAUAUGACUUGAUGUCUUUUCACUAUCUGAAAUAGGUGUGGCAUAUAUAGCAAAAGAUGACCCCUCUUUGGCUGCAUAUAUGAAAGCUCUUGCUCCUACUAGUAAGGGCUUAGAUGCAUUAGACUUAUGUAUUUCCUCUUGAUUAAUAGAAUUUCGAAAUAAACUAUUAAGAAAGUUAAGGUUAUGGAAAAUCAAUCUAUGUGAGGGUUAUACUUUUCUAACGAGGAUAGUGCUAAAAUGAUUAGAUUCAAAGGAGAUCGUAUCACAUUAAAUAUUACUAUACUAUUAUGAUCUUUAAUUAUUACAUCUAAAGGAACAAUCUCAUGGGUAACAUCACUGGAAGACAACGAACGACCAUCUAUGACUUCCACAUGUACGGGUUUGAUUUUCUUGACUAAUGAUAUUUCUUAUUUUUUGACAAAGUCUUCGUCUAUGAACCAAGCUGAGGCUCCUGAAUCUAACAAUGCAAAGACUUUAUGAUUUUUGGGUCCUAAAUACAUAUCUAUUGUAAAACAAGGUAAGGGAUCUGAGGAGAGAAUAGGACCUUCACUAGGUGUUGCACAUGGUUCUAGCGGCACGAUCCUAUUGUAGCUGGAAGAACUUGUUUUCUGACAUACUGUCUUCUUUUGCAAUGGUACUCCUCAUUUUAUGAUUGUGUUGCUUCGUUGGACAAUGUUGAGCAGUGUGUUUAGCUUCUCCACAAUAUAGACAUAAGCCCUCUUGAUGUUGUUGAGUCUUUUUCUGCUCCAUGAGGAGUUUAAAACAUACCGUAUCAAUUUGCAUUGACUCUAGCUUUGAUGGAAAGGUUUCUAAAAACUUAGAAGGUAUUGCCAUGACUUGACUUAUUCUUCUCCAGCCAUAUCUUUAUUCUUCACGUCUUUCAAAUAAACGAUUAUCACAUGCAAUAGCUUGAGCAAUGAAUUAUUCUAAAGAAUCUAUUUUUGGCAUUGUUAAUAAUAAAUCUUUGAUAUUAUCCUUUAAUCUAUAGCAAAAUUGAUUGAUAAAGGCUUUAUCAUUCUAAUCCACAUCACAAGCAAGAUUUUCGAAUUCAGCGGCAUACGUGGUGGUUGAACGUGAUCCUUGUCAUAAUGAUACAAGCUUGGUCUCUACUACCCUUUUUUGAUCACUUUCUCCAAAUAUAGCCAUAAAUACUUCCAAGAAUGAGUUCAAAUCAUAGAAUAGUCGUGAAUCUUUUUCCAUCAAAGGUGCAAAUCAAGAGAACGCACUUCCAGAUAGAAGUGCGCCUAUGAAUCCAACUUGAGUAAAUCCAAUAGGGUAUUAGAAAGGAUGCAACCUUAAGUAGAGUUUAAUUUGAUGCAAAAACCCUAAAAAUCUUGUUCUUGUUCCAUCAAACUUUUUAGACAUACUAAUCCUUGCCUCCCUUGAGUUUGUAGAAGUAAAACUCCCGAAAUUUGGUUGCGAGACUAAUCGACUUGUUUCCUUCAACUGCAUAAUUUCUUGGCAUAGACUCUGAACUUCUUCCAUAGUAGUAGGAAUAGUGCUUCUAUGGUUGAUGUUGGUGAUGCGUGAAAUUUCGGUCCUAAGAGUGUUGAUAAGCUCAUGAAGAUCUGUAAUAGUUGCAAAUCUAUUUUCACUUCCACCAAGUGUAGCAUCUAUGAUUUUUUCUUUCAUAGAUAACUCAAAUGAAUUCAAAAGUUAAAUAAGAAGAGGAUAAUCCACAACCUCUAAAAAUAAAUUCCACAAAGAGAGGUAAUCCACUCUCUUUAAGAAAAAGAUCAAUGUUAGAAAAUAAGAUUUUUUAUUUAAAGGUAGAUAGUCUGCAACCUUCAAAAUAUAAUAAUAGAAGUGGAGUAAUCCACUCACUUCUAAAAUAAGACAAAAAUAAUAUGUUAGCACUCUUAUCAAACUAUCAAGGAUAUGAACUCCAAAGAAAGAUAAUCUCAAUACACUCUUGUGUGACUCGAAAAUACUUAGAAAUCACUCAAAGGUAAUAAUAUUUUGAACUAGAAUGGCUAUUACCAAAGACUAGAAAACAUGACGACUCUUGAAACUAGACUGGAAAUAAGAAAGGAGUUGACAAGAGUGAAGAAGGCUUCACUCUUGUCUCUAUAUAUACUAUCUAACUAGGGGCUAUGUGGCAACGUUCUAUAAGACCUCGAAUAUGUGUUGACUUUGUAUGACACUUGCCUUGACUUACAAGGCAAGUUUUUUUACAUGUGGGCGACAUAGUUAGCUUGGUCUUCAAGCUAACAACAUGUGUGGUACAUGGCCAACUUGUUGACCACGUUUCUAAUCCAAAAAGUCAAUUAAAGACACCUAUGAAGUUAAAGCAAUGUCUAUAAAGCUUCUAAGAAGCUUCCAUAUCAAAUACUAUAGAAUUAACUUACUUUUAUCUACUUUUACUUACUUCUACUUAUUUAUAUAUUUAAUUACUAGCUUAUAUGAGUAUGUUCGUGAUACGAGCCUGGGAAUAAUUCAAAACACAAGCUGACAUGAAAUACUUGAGGUUUUUGUGAUUUGUAUACACAAUGAUUGGAUUAGAAGCACCUUUUAGAUAAUGACACUAUUCUUGGAAAGAAUCCACAAUUACAAGAAGUUCUUUGUUGUAGAUCUCAUAAUUAAUCUCAACUGCUAAAAAUUUCCUAGAAUAAAAAGUUACUACGUGAAGUUUAUCAUCUAUUCCCCUUCAAGAAUUCUACAGCACCUAAAGCAAAGUCUAAUGCAUUUUUUUUCAUAAAGAAUGUCUUAGAGAAAUUAACGCAAUAUAAGAUUGGUGUAAAAACAAAGGUUGUCUUUAAAGCUUCAAAUGUUGCUUUCACUUCUUGAUUCCAUUGAAUUUUGUCUUUACAAGUCAAACAUAUAAGUGAAGCUGCAAUUUGAAAGAAGUCUUUAAUAAAGAUUUGAUAGUAAUUGGAAAAUCUCAAAAAACAUUAGAUAUCUUAGACCAUUUUUGGGAUCUUUCAAUCCAUAAUCAUUUGAACUUUUUUAGGAUCCAUCAUAAGUCCAUCGUUUGAAAUGAUAUAACCUAAGAAUUCAACUUGAAUAGUGAAGAAUACACACUUUUCUAUCUUGGCAUUGAGUCAUACAUCUCUUAAUUUUUGUAAGAUACAAUGAACAUGAAGUUCAUAUUCUUCAAUAUUUUUAGAAUAAAUCAAGAUAUUAUCCAGAUAAUGAACAAUAAAAUUAUCCAAAAACUCUUAAAAAAUAUCACAUAAGAUGUUGAAAAGCUACUAGUGCAUUUAUAAUUCCAAAAGGCAUGAAAUUAUAUUCAAAAUAUCCGUACCUGAUUCAAAAUGCAGUCUUCUAUUCAUCUCCUUUUUUGAUGCAUAUUAGAUAGUAUGCUCCUUGUAGAUCUGUUUUUGCAUAGAUCUUAACUUGAUUCAUCUGAUCAAGAAGUAUAGAUAUUAAAGGUGGUAGAUACUUCUUAAUGGUGAUCUUGUUGAGUCCUUGAUAAUCAACAUACAUCCUCAAUGAUCAAUCUUUUUUCUUCACAAAUAGAAUUGUGGUUUUUGAUGGAAAUUUGGAAUAGCGUAUGAAGUUCUUGGCUAGAUUUUCUUCAAUAUACUCCUUGAGUUUGGCCAACUCAUUUUGUGAUAAAUUGUAGAUUGGUCCAAAUGGUGGUUGUAUUUCUUCUUGAAGGUUAAUUGAAUAGUCAUAGGAACUAAGUUCUAAAAGAGUAUCUACAUUCUUUUUGUCAAAUACAUCUUGAAAAUCUUGAUAUUGGCUUAAAAUACUACUUGAAAUCUUUGUACCAUUAGAAACGUAUGUGACAUAAAUGACACAAGUUGAUCCUUCUUUUACAACAUAUAAGAAAGUUCUUGCACCUACAAACAUAGGUUUAAUUCUACUAGACUUAUAAUUUUUUAAUUAUACUAGACUUGUGAUUUUUUAUUUGAUUAACUAUACUUUUAGUUAUAUUAUUAGAAAAGUCAAGAAUACAAGAAAUCUAAUCUACUUGAAGAUUGUAUUUUUUUAACCACAGUAAAUCUAAAAUGAUUAGAUUAGAAAGAGAUCUAAUGAUAUUAAAUACUUCAAAGCUAUUAUGACUAUUAGUUAUUACUUCUAUGGAAAGGAUUUUGUGAAUAAUAUCUUUAGAAGAUAAUGAAUAAUUAUUUAUGACUUCUUUAUGAAUAGGUUUAAUUUUCUUUACUAAAGAUAUGUAGAGUCUUUUAGCUAAUUCUUCAUCUAAGAAACACGCUGAGGAUCUUGAAUCUAACAAGGCAAAGGCUUUGUAACAUAUAGGUCCUAAAAUAAUAUUUAAUAUAAAAUAAAAUGAGGGUUCUAAGGAGAGAAUAUGACCUUCAUUAGGUAUUGUAUAAGGUUCUAGCUACACGGCCCCUAUUGUAAAUGGAUAAACUCGUUUUUUGAUAUAUUGUCUUCUUUGACAUUUAUACUCCUCAUUUUAUAAUUACAUCGCUUCUUUUGAUAAUAUUGAGUAGUGUACUUAGGUUCUCCAUAAUAUAAGCACAAUCCUUUUCGACGGCCAUGAAUCUUUUCUUGCUUAGUAUGAGGUUUAAAAUGUAUUACAUCAAUUUGCAUAUCCUCUACUUUUGAAUGUAUGUAUAGAAUAGAUAUUAGUUUGUUUUUGUAAGAUAUUAGUAAAAUAAACUAAUAGUCCAUAGAAUAGUCAGUUCAAGAGGACAGAUGGUUAAAUCAGUUAUUAAAAGUGAUUAUUAUAGGAUUACGGUUAAAAUUUGGAAAUCAAUAGCAAUUAUAUAGGAGUUGUAGAAGUUAGUUUGAGGGGCCAAAUUGUAAUAGUCAUGAGCCGAGAUUAAGCUUGGUGCUACCUCUCUGUUUUCUUUGUUUUGGACAGAAAAAGUCUGUGAUUAUAGAAAUUCUGUGAAUCUAGAUUGAUUGGAGUGAAGUCUGUUAUUCCUCGUGUUGGAUGGAAUUUAUGAGUUUUAAGCAGUCUUUUAAGAGUGCAAGGUUGCACAAUGUUGUUAUCAAUUGAUGAAGGAGUAUUGUUACUGGAAGGAAGUAUUGUAGUGUUUCUUGGUGUUUUAGUAGUUUGGAUUACAAUUAACUAUGUGACCCUAACAAGUAAAGCUCAUGCGCUUAGUCUUUCCCUAUGUUCGAAUUUCCCUAUACAAGUUUAUUCUGAAAGGAAUUUGUAAAAUAAGUAAAAUGACAAUUACAAUAUGUGUUGAUAUUGCCAUUGAAUUAUAGUAAUGUUGAGGCCCACUUGUCUAACUCUCACAUUAAAAUUCGAAAAGAUGAUUGUCACACAUUAUAGUAAAGUCAAUUACUUGACUUUAUGUUUGAAAAUCAAGUAAAUUGAGCAUUAAUUUAUAUAUCUCAUAUUGUAAUCCAUAAGAAAAUUGGCUAAUCAGUUCAGCAUCAUCCCACUUGAUAUCAGUUGCAAGUUGUCAAAAUUGUGAAGCAUAUAAUAUUAUGGAUCAAUUGCCCUAUUGUAAAAUAUGGAUAUUGUUGGUUGCAACAUGAUUUACAUUAUAUUCUCCAUACAUAGAUCAAAACUUCACUAAAAAAGCCUCUAAAUUAUCCAAUAUUAGAUCUCUUUGUUCUAAAAAAGAUGAAAACCACGAUAAUGCUGAACUUCAAAGAAGUGUAUCAAUGAAUCUAACUUGUGAUCUUGGAGUUAGAUAACUUUGAGGUUGAAGUUCAAUCACAAGUUAUAAUUGAUUGAUAAAUCCUUCAAACUUAGAUCUUGUGCUGUCAAACUUUUCAAGUAAGGCAAUUCUUGGUUCUGUAAUACUGGAAGAAUGUUCUACCAUAGGAGAGGACAUGAUUGGAUGUAGAUAUUGAAGCAACUCCAAUCAUAUCUAUGUCUUCACUUCCUGCCAUUCUUGUUGCUCUUUGUGGUGGUAAAUUGAGUUGAUGCAUCACAAGCAUUAAUUCCUUCAAUUGCUCUUGCAUUUGUAUCAUUGCACUCUUAAUUUCAAAAAGCUCUUCUAUGUUAAUACUUAGAAAAUAAAUGUCUAAUAUUGCUUAAGACAAAUAGAAGAAAGGACUUGAAAACAAAGAAGAUACUAAGAACAAUAUUAGUUUAGAAGAGGGUAAUCUGCAACUUCUAAUAUGCUUAUGUCUUAUCAAGAAAAAAGGAUAAUCUACUCUUAAUUAAGAGAAGACAAAAUUCUAAUAUUGUAAGUAUACUCUUGUCAAUCUGUCAAAGACAUGAAUUGGAAGAAGAUGCAUAAACUUGAAAACUUAUAACAAAAAAAAAAAAAAAAAAUUGAAAUAAAAAAAUAUAUGUAUUAAUAGGAAACUAGAAUGGCUAUUGCUAAAAAAACAAAGAAAUUAGAGACUCUUAAAUCUAGACUAAAAGCAAGAAAAGAGUUGACAAGACUGAAGAAGGCUUCACUCUUGCCUCUGUAUAUAUUAUCUAAUUAGAAUCUACAUGGCCAUGUUCUAUAGGACCUCUAAUAUGUAUUGACUUUACGAGACGCAUGCCUUAGCUUACAAGGUAAAUUUUCUACCUGUAGGCUAUAUAAUUAGCUUGUUCUUCAAGCUACUAAUGUGUGUGGCACAUGGCCAACUUGUUGACCAUGUUUUUAAUCUAAUAAAUCAAUUAAAGACACCUAUAAAGUCAAAGUAAGCAUCUAUGAAGCUUUUAAGAAGCUUGUAUAGAAGAUAUUAUAGAAUUGACCUACUUUUACUUAAUAUUGUCUAAAUCAUAUAAAUAAUUAUUGAUUUAUAUAUGUAUGUCUAUGACAAAAGCUUUAUAGAAGCUUCAUAAAUGAUGCUUUAAUUUUAUACAUAUUUAUAGCUAAUUGAUAAGCUAGAAACUUAAUCAAUAAGUUAACCAUGUAUCACACAUAUUAAUAGCUUGUAGAACAAGCUAAUUAUGUGGCUCAUAUAUAGAAAACUUGCUUUAGAAGUUACAAUGUCAUGUAUCUCACAAUAUCAACACGUGUUAGAGGUCCUAUAGAAUAUUACAAUGUAGCUCCUAUUUAGAGAAUAUAUAUGGAGAUAAUAGUGAAGUCUUCUUUACUCUUAUUAAUGUCUUUUUAGUCCUUAGUCUUAUUUCAAGUCUUUCUAAUAUCUCUAAUACAUAUUAACUUUACUAUUUGUUUCACUUGUAUUUUAUAAUAGCUAUUCUAGUUCAAUACAUUACUAUCUUUGAAUAAUUUUGUAGUCUUUUCAAGUCACAUAAAAAUAUAUUGAAGUUUUUUUUUUUUUUUUUUUUUUUUUUGAAGAUUUAUAUCUUUAAUAGGGAUAGGAAUGGGAUUAGAAGAUGGAAACAUGGAAUAUGAACAAGGGAUAAGGGAUGGAAACAAGAUUUAGAAAUGGAAAGAAAGAACAAGGAAUGAGAAUGAGAGAUGGGAAUGAGAUUGGAGGAUGGAAAUAGGAAAUAGGAAUAAGAGAUAAGAGAUAGAAAGUAGAUACAAAAAUGAGAACAAAAGACAAGAAAUAAAAACAAGGGAAGAAAGAUGGAAAAAAAAUGAAGCAUAAGAUAGCAAAGAAGAAUGUGACUUUAAUAAAAUUAGAAUAUGGCUUUAAUAACUCUUUAAAAAAAUUAUAAAAUAAUAAUGGUCUAAUUUAGUUUGCUACCACAUACAAUAACUAUCAUACAAAAUUAUACUACAACAUAAUUAUUUUUAUGUAAUCAAGGAUAUUAAUGCCAAAAGUUACAAGCUAAAACUAAAAUUUUCUAUCAUUAUAUGGAAGAUAUUUUUCAACAAAAAAUCUAUGAAAAAAAAAAAAAAAAAAAAAAAAAAACUUGACAAAAAAUAUGUCAUUUUCUUCAUCUUUGUGUACAUUCUACCUUCCAAACACAUAAAGAGCAUACAUAUCUCUAAUAGAAUUGAUCAAUUUAAUAAUUAACAUAUUUAUAAGCAUUCAAUUAUACUUAGAUAAAAAUUUAAAUUUAUAAAAAAAAAUACUAUUUCAUUUUUAUGUAGACUUUUAAAAUCAUUUACAAAAAUAAAAAUAAAAAUAUCACAAUUUAUUUCUUCUUCUUCUUCUUCUUCUUUUAUCAGGGAGGAAUAAUUCAUAUCUAUGAAAAUGCAUUGGAUAUCAUAAUUAAUCUAUAUUUUUGUAUAACCUUCCAAGAAAACACUUAAAUGUAUGUAUAUACAUUGUUAUUCUUAUUACAAUGGAUGUAUAUAUAUAUAUAUAUAUAUAUAUAUAUUGCUUUUACUUGUUAACUAGUCAAUAUAUUUUGUAUGAAGACAAUGUGGCUGUUAUAUACUUAGAAAAUAAAGCACAAGUUGUUGAUAGUAUUUCUUGUUAGAUAUCUCUAUUUAGAGUUCAAUUCUACAUUAGUGUACAAUUUAGAAUACUCAUCUAUGACAGCAAAUACAUUUUCUGAAAAUUCAAUAAAAGAACCCUUUACAAAUAUGUUAACAUUUCAUUUAUAUAUAUAUAUAUAUAUAUAUAUAUAUAUAUAUGGAAAAAAAUAUAAUUUUUUUAAAGAUGAAAUAUCUUGAGUUUCUACUCUCAUUAAGGAUAUUGUUUGACAGUAAUGCUGUAAUAUUUGUACAGUUUCAGUUAGAAAAUAUUUUUUAUAAAUAUUAAAGAAUUUAUUGCUAGUUUUUACUAAAUCGUAUGUAUAGAAUGUGCUACUUAGCAGUAGUGUUUAAAUUAUGUUUCAGGUAAUUUUUGCAAUAAGUUUUAUUUUUUUAGAAAAUUUUAUGGAAUUAUGAAUUCAAUUUCACAGUCUAAUUUCUUACCAGAACCAAUUUAAUUUCCAAAUGGAAAAUCAAACUCAGAAACUGGUCUUUAUUAACCAACAUGAUAAUAUAGAUUUAUAUUUAUAUUUAUUGAUAAAAAUAUUUUAAAGGUCUAGUUCAAAAUUUAACUUUUAACCUGAGACUAUCAUAACUCACACUGUUAUUCACUAAGAAUGUUUUUAUUUAUUAUGUUCACAAUGUUCACAUAAGUUGUUUUUUAAUCACCAUUUCUACAAAAGAUUAUUUAUUUUUUUAUUUUUUAUCUUGAUUUUUUAUUCUUUUAAGAAAAAUAGAAACUAAUAUUCACUUGUGAUUAAACUACACCAGAUGUAUGUAUGUUGAAACUAUGAACUUCACCCAGUGUAUGCUGAAACAUACAUUUAAAUAUAUUAGAUUUAAAGCCAAUUCAAAAUGUAUGGGUUCAUUUCAUUUAUUCAAUAUUUUUUGAUAUAAAACUAUAUGUAAUAUUCUACAUUGACUUAAUAUAUAUUUAAGUAGAAAUCAUGAAAUUUAAGAAAAAUUUCAAAAUGUGAUGAUGAAAAUGAUUAUAAAAAUAAUAGUAAUAAUAAUAAUAUGAUUAAUAUUAACAAAAAUACACAUGUAAUUAGCAAAAUUAAUACUUGGAUUUGACUAAAUUUGUUAAGAACUUUAUAUUUUAAAUCUUAUUGUAAACAUUGUAACUCUUAAACCUAAAGAUCAGAAUGGGUCACUUAUUAAAAUUAAAACUAACUUUUGGUUCUUGCACCUUAAAUGUAUGCAUUAAUAAUCAAAGUUACAUGUAUGAGCACUCUAGUAAUUAGUUUGUUUAGAAGAGUCUAAUUGGUGUAUCAACAUAUGUAUGCAUGUAAGUAUGUAUGUAUAUAUACAUAUUAUGGGUUAUUAUAACUUUAGCCAUGACUUUAAAUUAGUAAUAAUAAUUUAUUGCAUAUACAUAAAUUAUCAUAUUACAUCUAAUUGGAAUUGUAUGAUUGAAUGUAUAUAUAUAUAUAUAUAUAUAUAUAUACAUAUGUUCUUAAUUUUCUAAAAAAAUGUGCAAAUAUUUGGAUUUAUCAUUAAUUAUCAACAAAAUAUUGUGCAUAAAAGUGAGCACAUUCACUAAUACAAAACAAAAGAUUAUUUUUCUUGAGAAUACAUAAUUAUUCCAUAAAAAAAUAAAAAAUAAAAAUAAAAAAUACAAAGCAUAAAGCUACAAUUUCCUAUAACUAAGAUGCAUAAUAUAUGGCCUUUUAUAAAACCAACACCAAAACAACAAUAUUCAAGGAAUAUAUUCUAUGAAAAUAUAUAAAAUUUAGUAUUUAUGUAUAAUAAUGAUACUUUUUUCUAAUUGAUUGCAGGGUUUCAAAGUGUUAUUUUAUUUUGAUACAUCCUAUAUUCAAUAAAAAUAAAAAUAAACUAUUUAUUUGUAAACAAAACAUCCAACAUAAUUCUUGAUAGAUAAUUCAUAGGAAAUUGUAGCUAUGUAUAUAUAUAUAUAUAUAUAUAUUUAUUUAUUUAACAUAUUUUUCAAAAUUGCAAUUAGAUAAAAGUCAAAUUAAUUUGUAUUAUUUUAAUAAAAAAUCAUGACUUUAUUUAGUGUACAUUCAACCAUUAUCUAAAAGUCACAACAAUUUGCAAGGACCAUCUACUCCCACAAAGACACAUGUCACUACCACUUGAAUUCAAAAUAGUGUGUAUAUAUCUACAUCUAGACAAGUAGUGCUCUUCAUCGCCUUCUCCUUCUUCUUUCUUUUCGUCAUAUGAUUUUAUUCCAAGAGGAUUUCAUAUUACCCACAUGAGCCCCUAAAAGGAGGAUGCAAGCAAGCAAGUAAGCACGGACCCAGGGCCACAAAGCCACAAGAUGUGGGGCAAGCAAAGGGCAAGUGGGAAGGAAAGGAAGGGCACUACCACUACUACAACUAUUACCCCACUAGGGCUCUAUAGAGAGUAGUGCCAGUAGUAGCAGGUAAUGAAGGAGGGAGAAAAAUAAACAACACACUAAUAGGGCGCCACGGCACUUAUCCAUAAUUGGUACUCUCCUAAAAGCAUGGCUCGGAGGAGGAUAUUAAAGCACUCCUCCCCCACCCAGCCCCUACAUCUACGCUCCCCUCAUGUGCCCUUCCUUCUUCCUAUCUACCCAUAUAGUACAUCCUUCGUGGCCAUAUCUACUAGUGCAGCCCAUGGCCGGCUCUUACGGUUGCGCGCUGAAGGGCAAACAAGACGAAUGGGGAUGAUGGGAAUGGGGAUGGGGAUGGAAGGAGAAUAGGGCAGCGUUCCCCUCUGCCCCUCUCUCUCUCGCUCUCUCUCCCUCUCCCUCCCCUUGCCCUCGUCCGCCAUCGCCAUAGCCACAACUCACACCCUCUCCCUCUCCCCCCCUUCCCCUCCUCUUCCCCACCUCGCUACCUACGACGACUCUCACUCUGCUUGUUUACUCGUAUGCGUGCCUGUUUGCUGGCUUGCUUGCAGCGGCCAUGAUACGCCGGUGGACGUGACUAGAGUAGAAGAGAGGAGAGGAGAAGUUGAGAGCGAGAGAGAGAGAGAAGAAGAAGAAGAAGAAGCAGAAGAAGAAGAGGAGAAUAGGAGGAGAUUCGACGACGGAGGAGGGCGCGAUGCGAGUUGGAAGACGGGGAUAGUCAUUGGAGGAAGGGGCGGAGGUGUAUUGGAAGUGUGAGACGCUAGGGUUGCGGAGAUCCGGUAGCGGGUAGCGGGUGUGAUGUGAUGUAGAUCGGAGGUUUCGGCAUCGGUUGCGAAGUGGAAAGCAGGGUGUGGGAGAGUGCGUGUGAGAGAGAGAGCGAGAGGAGCAGACGAUAGCGAUAGAGCAGCGGAGGUGUGAGAGAGUUGAAGGGGGUGAUUGGCAUGGGUAGUUGUUUGUGAGCGUGUUGGUUGUUGGUGGAAGUUGAAGGGGUUGUCGAGGACGGAGAGAGAGAGAGAGAGAGAGAGAGAGAGAGAGAGGUGUUGUUUAGGGGAGGCAUGCGGGAGCAGGAUUGGUGUUAAGUUCGUAAGGAGAAGGGAGUACAUGCAAGUGCGUGCUUGUCGGAUAUCGGACAGCUGGAUUUGUAAAUAAGCGGAGAGGAGGGUCGGUAAUCAGGGGCGUACAUCGAUGGAGCCGCGUGUGGGAAACAAGUAUCGGCUGGGACGGAAAAUUGGGAGCGGUUCCUUUGGGGAGAUCUAUCUUGGUAAGUCUAGAUCGCCGCCUGGUAUGUUUGCUGACUGGCGCACGGUUUGUUGAUGGCCAUGAGAUCUUGUUAUCGUUGCCAGAUGGGUUUUGUGUAUUGCCCUAGGUGUCGAUGUGUGCAUGUGUCCACUUCCUGGACGCUGCUGCCAUUGGGAAAUGAUUUGGUAGAGUUUUAUCGAGGAGGUUUAAGCAGAUGGAAAUUAGGGGUGCCGGACAUGCAACCAGAUCUGAGCCUCUCCGUGUUUUAUGGAACUGCCAAUCUAUUUGUGCAGUGGAUUGUCUGCCGUCAGUAAAGUAUUGCAUUUGGCUUUGCUCAAUUAGAUUACAUGCCCUACAGCUCAUCUUAAAUUUGGCAUUCGGAAGACCCUAGGUGAGUGUUGAGACUUCAUCUUGAAUUCCAGAGUGAUUGACAUGAAUUUUUCAUCUCUACUUUAGGGACCAAUGUUCAGACCAAUGAGGAGGUCGGAAUAAAGCUGGUAUGUAAGCUCGGCCUGCCUGUGUUUUGCAUUAUUAAGCUGCGUGCUCAAUGCUCGAAGAAGUAAUUGUUUUGAAUGUUUGAAUUACCGAGGCAUGCGUUCAUGUAUCCAUAUCCUGGACCAAUCUAUUCAAAUUUGCUAAAGUGGAAAUAUUUGAGCUCGCGCAUUGAAUUUCGUUUGUGCUUCUAUUCGCACUCUUUGUGGUGCGGUGAACCGGCUGCCCCACGUGUAUGGAAUGAGGGAAUUGUCGGUUGGAAUCGUAUGUCAAGGGCGUGCCUGGACUGUUUGGAAGAGUUGUAAAUGGCAUUUUACUUUACUAUGUGACUUAUGGUCAAUUGUGUGGCCUAAUGGUUAUGGACACAAUUCUAGCGAAAUCAGCCCUUUCUUGGAUUCUAUUGCAUUCAACACAGUGUGGCGUUUUUUUAUUUCUAUCCAGGAAAGCAUCAAGACGAAGCAUCCACAAUUGCUGUACGAGUCCAAGCUCUACCGGAUACUACAAGGAGGAAGUAAGUAGCUUUGUAUUCACUAUCACGUGCAGAAUGUUGCUUCUACGUGUAGUAAAACCCCUGGAGAGCCCACGUGUUGUGGCUGGAAAACCCUUGCAAGCUACUCUGACACGUGAAUGCUUUAUAAGAAGUCUCAAUUAGGAUAGAAAGUGGGUUCUGCUACUCUGUAGCUUUCAUUGGGAGACCUACUUGAAUUUCUAGUAGCAGAUGUCUCGAUUUGUUUAAAUGCUGCACUGGGAUGUUUAAUAUCAAGUUUUAGGUAGUGAUCGCUGUGGUCUUAUUUCCACAUUUUUUCGAGGACUAUUUCCUAUGCGAGACAAUGCGAGUUCAGUCUGAUGCUUAUGAGAUUAUGCCUUCGCAAUUUCGGAAUUCCUCAGCUCUUGAUUAUCAAUCCUUUGAUUACUUGAUGGCGUGCACUACUUCCUACAGCCACAACAUGCCUUUCAUAAUUAAAUCCCAUGUAGAAAAUAAUUCAAGUUUUAAUAGAGAUUAGCCUUGCUUCUCUAGAAGUAAUUUAUGGUCCGCCGAGACGGCACUUCUGGAGGCAAUAUUCAAUCUUCUCCUUCAUCAUGAAAUUCCAUUAAAUUGUGCUCGUACAUUUUAUACUCACUGUAUUUGUCUAUCAUUCAAUGUUCAUGCGCUAGUAUUCGGAGACUCUUUUUUGGGUUAACCUUUCGACUUUGUUCUGUUUUAGCUGGGAUUCCCAAUAUCAGAUGGUUCGGGAUAGAAGGAGACUACAAUGUCUUGGUUCUGGAUCUGUUGGGGCCAAGUCUCGAAGACCUUUUCAACUUCUGCAGCCGGAAGUUCUCUUUAAAGACUGUUCUCAUGCUUGCUGACCAGCUGGUGUGUACAUGAUCUGGACUUCUCUAGUUUUACCUUCAGUUUUCUCAGUUCUAUUUUAUUUUUAUUUUUUUCAUUUUGUAUUUAUUUUUAUCGGUUUUAUAGGAAUUGAAGCAUGUUAUGGACAGCAAGUAAAUCCGUGUGUACUGUUCUGUUCAUGUAGAUCAACAGAGUGGAGUAUGUGCAUGCGAAAAGCUUUCUUCAUAGAGACAUCAAGCCUGAUAAUUUUCUAAUGGGGCUUGGUAGGCGAGCAAACCAGGUAUUUUAGAAAAUUCGGCUUUUGGACCCAUCGAUCGAUGUCAUCGUUGGCUUAAGCUUCUGUGCUUAUCUACCCACUGGGCAGACAUACUGAAGUUAAGAUUGUCUUAAGAUAGAUUGAAAACUUCGUAAAGCAUGAAGUGUUUAGGUUAUUUGAGUACUGGGUUAUUGUGAUCAGCGAUCGUGACGGACCAAAUGAGAUGUAUCCGUGUGUAAGAACACGCCAUUGGAAUGCAUUUAUAUCUCUUAAUAUGCGCAUCGAUAAUCCCUACAGGUCUACAUUAUUGAUUUUGGUCUUGCCAAGAAGUACCGCGACCCUUCCACGCAUCAGCAUAUUCCCUACAGGUUGAUCUUUGUUUGUUUGCGCAACGUCUACUUGUACCAUCUAAUUUUCUAGUGGAAUGCUAUUUUUGAUACAUGUUGCACCUGUUUGUAUCAAUAACCCUGAGCCUCUGUCAAAUAGGGAGAACAAAAAUCUGACAGGGACUGCUCGGUAUGCAAGCAUCAACACUCAUCUUGGUAUUGGUAAGUUACACUUAAUCUGUACUGCCUUUGAAUCACCCGUGUUUUCUCUCUUUUAUGAUCGCAUCAUUAAUGAUAUUUUAUUUGCACCAUUUGAACAGAGCAAAGCAGACGAGAUGAUUUGGAAUCUCUUGGAUAUGUGCUCAUGUACUUCCUGAGAGGCAGGUGAGUCCGAUGAUGAAACUUCAUCCUAUUUAAAAAGAUCAAUCCAUUUGAAAAAUAUGCCGCGAAUUUGUACAAUUUUCGUUCUAUAUAACCAAUUCAAUGUGCUUCUCCAAAUGAGGUUACAUUUUCAUGUUUUAAGUUACGAAUUCUUCUAAACCGUUGUAGCUUUGCGGCUAGAAUGCAUCAAUAUUAUCCAUAUUCAAAGUUGGUUUGGUUUAUGUGAUCUAGUCUUCCAUGGCAAGGACUGAAAGCGGGAACCAAGAAGCAGAAGUACGAGAAGAUCAGUGAGAAAAAAAUGUCCACGCCCAUUGAGGUACUAACUUAUCAUACUGUUUAUUCAAAGUGGAUCUAAAAUCAUUUCUUUCUUACGUAUUUAAGUACUCUGCAUCGGGGUGAGGUGGUUGUCUCACGCGUUAUGUCUGCAUAUUCCAUUUUGAAAUGUUACCUUACUUUCAUCUUGACAUACGUGUUCAGGUCCUUUGUAAAAAUUAUCCUUCAGAAUUCGCCUCGUACUUCCACUACUGCCGGUCCUUGCGUUUUGAUGACAAACCCGACUAUGCAUAUUUGAAAAGAAUCUUCCGUGACCUCUUUAUUCGUGAGGGUAUGAAAACUGUAACUUUUGUAGGUUUCACUCUUGCUUGGGCAUUGUAAUGUAUCAAGACUUGAUCCUAAGCGCAGACUUUACUAUGCUCUAUCAACGAACAGAUAGUUUGUGAAUGUUUGAUGAUUUUCAGUUUAUUACAGUGCCACUUCUGCUUGCCUAAACUGGAAAUAGUUUUACAGGUUUUCAAUUUGACUACGUUUUUGACUGGACAAUUCUGAAGUACCAGCAGUCACAAAUUUCCGGUGGCAGUUCAACUCGACUGGUAUGUGAAAUAUCACGUAGAGUUGUUUUGAUGAUUUCUGUCCGUUGAUUGCUCUCUGGUUUGUGAAUUGAAGUCUUUUCAUAGGUGUAGCCGUGAGUUUAAAUAUCGUAAUGUGACAAUUGUAGGUGCUAGUUUUUGGAUGACCCCUCCCACUUGGUUUGAAUUCUUUCCUUGUCCAAGUUUGAAUGUGUUCCUCACGUGAAUGGUCGAUAUUGAAUAUAUUAACGUUUUUCUCGCUAGCAGGGUGCUUCUGCAGGGCAAACCAGUGGUGCACUUGGAACUGGGGCUACAGGAAGCCGAGACCUGCAGCGGCCCACCGAACCAAUGGAUCCUUCUCGGCGCAGGCUUCCUGGAGGAGCAAAUGGCUCCGGGGUCGCAAAUGCUUUGGACUCAUCUAAGCACAAAAGUCCUGGACUUGAUGAAUCUGCUAAGGAUUCUGUAAUUUUCGGAAGCUCUUAAUCCCAUACUCUUAAUUGUGGUUUGAUAGUUUUCGAGGUCUAAAGAAACUUUAGUCUUGAACCUUCCUAAAUCAAUUUUAGAAAUGUCAAUGCACUCAACAAAGAUUGUGACCAUACUUCGACAUUCAAAAAAUUUCUUUUAUCUUAGCCAACUUUCUAAGAAUAUCACGCUUACGAGCAAGAUUACUUCGCGGUGGUUAAAUCAGACGCACGUACAGAAACUUCGUAGCAUUUAUUCUAUUUUACAAUUUCUCAUUAUCAAAUGUAAAACAAAACUGGAGUUUUUUUUACCUGACUCGAACUAAACUAACAUAGUUGAGCUAUGGAACGUAUGGAAUUAUGCAGGCUCUUGCUGUUGUGUCAGAACCAGAGCGCAUGCAUACAUCUUCGUAUGCAACUCGGGGGGGUUCUUCCUCCAGGCGAGCUGUCCUAUCUAGCAGCAGGCCCUCAGGGGCAUCAGCAGAAGUCGUAGAUUCCUCUCGAACAGGGAGCAGUAAGCUUGGUCCCACCAGCUUACGGUCGUCAGCAGGGAUGCAGAGGAGCUCUCCAGUUACUUCGGACCCAAAGCGGAUAUCUAGCCGCCAUCCACAACCGCCAUCUGCCAACUUGAGGAUUUACGAAGCCGCUAUCAAGGGAGUUGAAUCACUUUCUGUUGAGGUGGAUCAAAGCCGUUAUAAGUAGGCCCAGGCUUGUGGUUAUAUAGCCGGGCUCUGUCUUCUAUCAAACCCUCUUGUUAUGUAGAUGAGAGUUGCUCUACAUUUGGCAACAGCCUGAUUGAGGGGAAAACGGUGGUUCUGUCCUACAAUGGUGCUAAGACUACAGGUCUCUCAUACUUAGGAAUGAAUGGAUCUCUAUCUUGUUACCAUCAAACCAUUGUCAGUGCUUUGUGUGGUAGCUCUCUGCCAUACGAUUCCUAAGGAAAUAAUCAUUAGAUUGCAGCAGAAGCAACCAGCAUGCUUGCCGGCUUGUGAAGCUUUUUAUCACUAAACCAUAAUCCUUGCCAAGUAACGUACGAGGAUGAAGUCUAGGGAGUGAGAAUCUCUCCCUUGGUAGUAUGUUCACUGCUUGCAGCCAUUAGCUUGUUGCUAACCUGUACAUAUCAUAACUUGGAGUUAUGUAAUGCAAAUCUAUUGGAGUUUACUGGCUUACAUGUGAUGUGAUCUGAUGUGAUCUGAUUACUAUUUUAAAAAUGGUUCUUACUUUGUAUUUAUAACGAUACCAGCGGAUUAUGCUGGUUCACAAAUCUUCUUGUUAGGAGAGAGUUCAUGUAGUACAUGCAUUUUUUAAUAGUUUAAUUGUUGCAUGGGUUUGACGUACAAGAGUACUGUGUCCAAUUUGAGGACUGCAAUGCUGCAUUACACGCAAAUGCAUUGUUUUAUCGACUUGAAAGAGAGUGUGAUCUGAAGGAGCACGUGGGCUUACUUGGCUUACGUUUGGGUAGUCUGGCGGAUGUCCAUGGCUUCGUUGCAUAUGAUGGAAAUUCAGGAACAGAUACUAACUUCUCGUGGGUGAUAGAUGUGUAUUUUGACCCAAAGCAUGCAGUUUUUAUGAUUUGAAAUGGUUUCUGCAGUUGCACCUGCAAUGAAUAGAAAUGGGUUCUGUAUUUACUGAGGAAAUCAGGUGUAGUUGCAAAUGUACUAACUCGUGGCUGUAUGGGUGUUCAAUCCAGUAUCUGGUUAAAAUGUCUCGUCAUUCGGUGAACCUUGGUCUGCUGUUUGGGUACAGAACUGCUGAGGAUUAUGUGAUUCCACAUUACCAAGUUUCAACCGUCCCCCCUCACAUACCCUUACUAUGUCUGCAAGCUUCUCCCGUUUAGCUUUUGAGGGGUCAAUUUUCUUAAACCCAAUUUUUGUCGCAACUUUCAAAUAUUGUUUGUACGAGUUAUUUUUCACUGAUUAUUCUGCCAUUGAAGAUGAAUGUCAAAAAAUGAACAGGUCUUUUUUAUAGCAAAUUUUUUCAGCACUUGGAAGAUUUCAAACUUUUUUUCCUUGUGCACUCUAUUCUGUACGAAAUUUGGUUCUCAAUAGCUGAAGAAUUUUCAUUCAUCUUCAAGUUGAUGGAGUUCUAGGAGCUGAAACUGUCUACCCAUGUAACGUAUCGUGAUGAUAUACAAUUGAAAAAUGAAGCAGUAUGUAUGGAGAAGAUAGAAACAGAUUAAGACGGAACAACAUUUUUCUCUUCUCAACGAGCAUGACAUGGAUCACAUCAGCUCAUGGGUCUAAGCCAGAACGAAUUGUUUUACUGUGUCACGUGAUGUAUGAGAGUAGUAGCAAAUUAUCUUGUAAUUUCGCAUUUAGCAACAGAAGAGUAUUCAGACAUGCCAGUUAAAGCAAGAGUUAACGAGCGGAGACGAAAUGUUUUCUCUACUGUUGUGGAUAAGAUAUCUCCUGAAAUAAAAAUAUCUACCGUGGGUUGGUUGUAUCCAUUUCUUCCUUUCCCUGUUUACGUAGUGGUGGUGAUUAGAAAAGUAGUAUUUUCGAUAUCUCGGAGUGUGACGCAUUUCCUAAGAUUUCAAAUCAUAAAAUCUGGCUCAGCGCUCAGACCAACAUCCUCAUGGCCAGUGCAAAUGUUCAGUGGUAAACACACCAUCUCACUCAUUGCAGCCACAAUAGGUAGAUAGUUCCCGAUAGAUUAAAAAGCCCCGUCUUACAUUGCUAAAGAUCUAUGAUACAAUUCUCAAUCACAGCGACAUGUUCAUGUCAAUAGUCUAGUUCCCGGGAACGAAGUUGGUGGCGUAGGCCCAUGCGUUGUUGGCAACGGGGUCGGCCAAGUGGUCGUUCAAGUUCUCCAAUGGGCCCUUUCCGGUCACGAUAGCCUGAACGAAGAAUCCGAACAUCGAGAACAUGGCCAAUCGCCCGUUCUUGAUCUCCUUCACCUUCAACUCAGCGAAGGUGUCGGGGUCGUCAGCCAAACCCAAGGGGUCGAAUGAGCCUCCGGGGUAGAUGGGGUCAGUCACCUCACCCAAUGGUCCACCGGCAACACGGUAACCCUCAACAGCUCCCAUAAGGAUAACCUGGCAAGCCCAGAUGGCCAGGAUGCUCUGAGCGUGCACAAGGCUGGGGUUGCCCAAGUAAUCAAGACCACCCUCGCUGAAGAUUUGAGCUCCGGCCUUGAACCACACAGCUUCACCGAACUUCACACCGCUCUUCGCCAACAGCUCAGGGGUCACGCACCCCAAAGCUCCGAGCAUGGCCCAGCGGGCGUGAAUAACCUCAAGCUCCCUGUUGCGGGCAAAGGUCUCGGGGUCGGAGGAGAGUCCAGCGGUGUCCCAUCCGUAGUCACCAGCGAACUCACCGUUAAGGUAUGAGGGGGUCUCACCGGAAAAUGGGCCCAAAUACUUGGGUCUGUCAGCUCCAUACCUACAUUGUUCACAGCAAUGUUAACCUGGUUAGCGAUUAAUGUCACACCAUUACCGGACAUAUUAUAUUAAUGAGCCACCCAUUAUCAGAAACGCGGCAGGAACCAUGUGCAAAUGCUCGACAACAGCUAACUAAUCAACAACAACUGCACACUGAUCGCAGAUACAAAAGCAACCAGCGCGACUCAAUAACGCACC